This 52646-nucleotide long non-coding RNA is filed under the name Phoenix dactylifera (date palm). Its description in RNAcentral is "long non-coding RNA (PDAC_LNC000780)". The record is from RNAcentral. Lineage: Eukaryota; Viridiplantae; Streptophyta; Magnoliopsida; Arecales; Arecaceae.
AAAGUUAAUCCUAAUCAUGCAUAGGUAUUACAUUUGUUGUUUAAGAUUAUAUUAUAAUCUCGCUUCGUGAUUUCUCAUGUGCAGGACCUGCAAGAUGUUACCGUCAGAUCAAGAACAAGCCUUAUCCUAAGUCACGGUAUUGCCGUGGUGUUCCAGAUCCUAAGAUUAGGAUCUAUGAUGUCGGGAUGAAGAAGAAGGGAGUUGAUGAGUUCCCCUUCUGUGUUCAUCUGGUGAGUUGGGAAAAGGAGAAUGUGUCAAGUGAGGCUCUUGAGGCUGCCCGUAUUGCAUGCAACAAGUAUAUGUCCAAGUUUGCUGGGAAGGAUGCUUUCCAUCUAAGAGUGAGAGUGCAUCCUUUCCAUGUCUUGCGUAUCAACAAGAUGCUUUCAUGUGCUGGAGCUGAUAGGCUCCAGACUGGGAUGAGGGGUGCCUUUGGGAAGCCUCAGGGGACAUGUGCUAGGGUGAUGAUUGGUCAGGUCCUUCUGUCUGUCCGUUGCAAGGAUAGCAAUGGUAACCAUGCACAAGAAGCCCUACGCCGCGCCAAAUUCAAGUUCCCUGGCCGUCAAAAGAUCAUUAUUAGCCGAAAGUGGUAUGUAUCAAAAAGGAAAAGAUUGAUAAUAAAAUAGUGCUUGAGAUAUGGAUAAGAAUUUAUUGGUGUUGCUAAACUUGGUUUCUGCUUAGUUGUGUUUGCUUCCACAUCUGGGGCAUGCAAUGCAGUGAGAGAAAACAUGGAUGGCUGACUUGUGAUGAGAGUUUUAUAAUAUGCGUCUUGAUAUAUUUGUUUUCACUAUUUUCUAGUAAGCUUUUUUCCAUUCUUCUCUUCAAAGGGAGAAAGAACUGAACCAAGAGUGUUGUGUUUAUAGAAUUAUUGGAGUAUCCAUAAAAAGUAAUUUACUUCAUAACAUUUAGGAUAUGCAUAGUUUUCUGUUUCAAGUUCUAACUAAUGUUAAAAGCUAUGUGGUUUUGGCUAUGGGGAACGGUGCUAGAUUAUGCUUUCUUAAAUUUGUGAUUUGUGUUCAUGAAUAUUCACAUUGUGAACUUAUUUUUCAGGGGCUUCACAAAAUUUAACCGCACUGAUUAUCUGAAGUGGAAAAGUGAGAACAGAAUCAUCCCAGAUGGCGUCAAUGCUAAGGUAUGUUUGUGGAUACAAGGUUUUAAUCUCUGCACCAAAAAGCAUGGACAUGUAUCAUUUCACUAUCCCUUAAAUUUACACGGCAACCUGUGAAUUUCUUCUCCCCUAUACACCCCAUGAUUCAAUGGAAUUGGGGAUGCCCAAAGUUGAAAUGCUAUCACAUUUGUUCUGCUGUAGGCACUUGUUAGACACAAGCUACCUUUUUCCUUUGAGAUAACGCUCUAGGGCAGCUGCUGUUUUUGUGUGGCAUUAGUCUUGGCAGGCUCGCUUUGUCUUCUUCGACCUGCUACUCCACUUUCUGCCAGUCAUGUUUAUUGAAAUAUCCUUGCAUUUUGAUUGGCAUUACGAGGGCUAGUUCAUAUCACCUUUGUUUUGAUUGGAGUUCAUUCAAUAGCUGUCUCACAUUGUCAAUCCGCUAGGGAAACUUUAGUUGGAUGGUAGCAAAUAAAUGGAGUAGAACUUGUGUUUUAGAAAUUUCCUGUCAUUUUAGUCUAUUUACAGCGUGCAAGAUGACCAACUCUAUUGUGAACGUCUCUUUGGUGGUUCAGUUACUUGGAUGCCACGGGCGGCUUGCUGGGCGCCAACCUGGACAGGCAUUCCUUUCAGCUGCCAUUGCCGAAGCUUCUUAGGAUAUUUCAGUUGGAGAACAAGCACAAGACUAUUGAUCCAUCAUUUUUGUUUCAAUGUCCUAGAUCAUGUUGGAGUUUACUUACCUAUUGAUUUUGUUACCUUUUGCAGCAUAUGACUGCUAGUUUUACUUCUUAUGGAUAUUUGUUUUGUUCUGUGCUUGGACAACUGGGAUAUGACAAUUUAGCUUUUGAAGUUCCUGCUUAUAUGGAUGAUGUGUUGCAAAAUGAGUGUUGCUCCUUUAUUCCCGCUCUUAUUCUCUAACUGCAGGGAUUGCUAGGAAACAUUUGUGUGGCAUUCAUGUUUGUUAAGCUGAAGGAAAUUGGUGUCAAGAUUUGGUGUUUCAUCUGUUUGUUUAGGUGAUUUGACAUAAGUCUGUACGGCUGUACCUAAAACAAGUCUUCCGGGCGGUGAGGGUCCAUUAUCUGUUUCAUGAAUCGUGGGCAUGCGUUUGGUAGCUUGUGUAGUCGCUGUAGCUGUAACUAAUCACUUUUUUGAAGUUCUGGUCAAUGAAAAUUUGCUCUUUUUCUGGCGAGCAAUGAAAAUUUGCUCUUUGGAACAGUGGAUGACUUCUUUUUCAUCAUUUCUGUCUUAACUUGCAAGCCUAUAUAAAAUUCAUUUUAAUGGUAUUGUCCAUGGAAAACUGGCAUCUGUGAGCCAUACUGUGAGCAAAUGUUUUUAAAUAAAAAGAUAUGGUAUUUGAGAAAAUAGAUGUACGUAUGAGAAUUGAUGUGCUACAAACAUGGCUAACAGGGCUGUGUUUUUUGAACUCGUCCUCUCUAGGUAUUUAAUAGAUUCCAAAUUGUCCUCUCUAAUUAUUUGAUAGAUUCCGUUUUUUUAAUCACUUGUUUCUAGGAUAAUGUUAUCCCUUCCCUCAAACACAUGGAAGUCAUAUUUGUGAAGGCUGCGCUUGUAGCUACCUCCACCAAGUAAUAGCCUCACGAUUAUGUCCUUGUGACCAUAUGCCACGUUGAAGGGGCCGCAUUUAUCUUCAGAAGAAGUCCGCAUUUCCACUGCGUUUGGGUUUUUGGGGUACUGUUUUGUUUUUCAAAUCUUUUUUUACCAAAACAAAAGUAAACGUGGGGUAAAUAUCAAUCCAGUCAGCACGUCAAUUUUUAUUUUUAAAUUCCGGAAACAUGGAGUCCUUACAAUCCAAGAGCCGCUUAAAGAUCCUUGUCGGAAAACAAACGGGGUUCGCCUUCCAAAAUCCUGGAAAACCACCGUCUCUCCACCCCAUGAUUUUUAAGGUCCGAUAUGUCAUUCCUCGGGAUAUUUCAUCUCAGGAGAUAGUCACGAAAUUUUGGAAGGGCCGGGAUAUAUUUCAUCUCAGCAAACUAACCGGUUUAUGUUUCAGUGUCUGUAAUCCAAUCACCCCCUAAUUCGGAUUCUCCCUUGAUUCAUUUCUUCUUCUCUUUUUUUAUAAGAAUUUGUUCGUUGUUGAUGUUGAGAUUCUUACGUUUGAUCCUUACUCUUCGACAUUUCCAUCACUUUUUUCUUUUAUUUAUAUGUCAAAGUUAACAUAGAGAGCAAUGUGAAGGCCCAUAUCUUAUACAAUUAAAUUUUAUAUAUUUAUCAUCUUUAUCUAAAAUUUUAGAAUUAAUUAAGUAAGCAACAAUAUUCACCUAACCUUCUCUAAUAAUGUAUAAUUUAGGAUUUCUACUUAAAACAUAAUUUUUUGAACUUUUCUCGUAGAAAAUGAUGAUUAUUAAUAUCAUCUCUUAAAAGAAUAUAAAAAUAUUGUAGUUAUCUAAAGAUCUAUACUUUAUCUUUUUUUUAUAGAAUUUUUUUGAUAAAAUUUUAAAAUCUUUUGUCAACUAACUCCCUAGAUAGUUUUAGCCAUACUAAUGAUCGUUAGAUUAUUUGUUCAUAAGCUAAUUAAUUAAAUCGAGACAAUAAAAAAAUCUAUUAUAUUAACAUUAUCUUAAUAUUAUCUAGUUUUUCUAUUUAUUAAAAAAUUUCAGAAUAAAUUUUUUGUCUUUCCACUAACCAUUGCUAGCUCUCUAUCCACUUUUUCCUCUCUUUUUUCACCAAAAAAAAAAGAAUUCAAAUAGAAAUUUUAAUAAAAAACUUGGGCUUUAAAUUAGUGGCUUGAGUUUAGAUUUUAGUUUUACUGCAUGUCAACUUGCUAAUCUUUUUAUUCUUGUUUAUUUAAAUAUCUCAAUUAGAAAGUCUGUUCCAACUCAGACGACACCUCAAAUUGUACCUAUAUCAAUAUCGAGUAACUUUAUGAAUCAUGCUACUUUGCACCCUCAUCAGCCAAUUGUAUAAAUAUUUUGUUUUCUCAUGUAUUUUAGGAAAAAAAACAGUUUACAUAUUUGGGAUGGAGAGGGGAGAUUCUAUGUAUAGCGCAUGGAUGAGUUGCCGAUACGUAUAACGUAUACCGAUACGUAUAAUAUAAGACGAGAUCUCGGAUGACGCGUGGGAAAAACCACUUUCCCGAAUCCAAGCAUCGUCUCUGGCUUUCACUGCUCGCUGUUUCCGCCAGAACCGCGUGCCGCCGUAAGUAGUAUAUUGUUUUAUAAAAACUACCAAUUAAAGAUUAGGGUUUAUUCCCAUCGAAUAUUUCUUCUCCUUCCCAUGUACGUUAAGUCGCCUCCUGGAGCGUAGCUUCCUCGCUGUCUGAUUUCCUUUUCGGACGUUUGGCGGGGAUUGCCUCGGUGGUUCUGUCUGCAGCCCAAUUGCGCCGCAAUGGGUUGGAUUUUCUUGCAUUUUUCUGGGAAUUCUGGAGUUCCAAUUUGAGGUGAUUUGCGAGAUUAGGGUUCUGGUAAUGAAAUUUAUCUUUGCUUCAGGGUUAGCUGAUUUUCUGAUACAAUGUGUUAGUGGAUUAAAAAGUAGGGUUUUCGAUAGAUCUUUCUUUGGGCACAGAGAGAAAUUAAGCCUUUUUGUCUUUUCUUUUGUAUCUGAAUGCGGGAUUCGUUUGCAUCCGUUUGGAUGCUAGAAUUUGAUCGGAGAGGGCAUCUUCAGAAUGAUAUAGAUGGAAAAGAUCGGAUUUUGAUAUAUAUUUCUUCCAAACAUGUACAUUUUAAUUAAUGUAUCACGCGUUCAACAAACCCUCAUUUGCAGUUGUUGUUAAACUACCAACUGCUGGAGUUCUAUCAAUUUAAAUUUAUAUACCUUACAAAUUGUUGUAUCGUAAUGCUUUCUUGGAUUGAAACUUUGGUAUUUUGCAACUUAAUUUAGCAGCUGGAACUAAUUUGAGGAGUUCCCUGGUUGGCAACGUCUGUUCUUCAUUAUAAUAGCCAUUUAUCUUCUGUAUAUAUUUGUCAUUUGAUACUAUGAUAUUCUAAAUUUUUUGUUCAUUUGAUUUUGAAAUUUAUGGUAUUUCAAAAGGCCUGCGGAAGUUUAAUUUGAUCACUGUUUAUUUGAUUGUGCGGUGUUCAUUCAUCUGAGAAUCCGAGAUGUUAUACUUGAUUUGACACUUCAAUAUCUUAUCGGAUGUGGUUAUCCUUUCAAAAAAAGGGAUCAGUUGCAUCCAUUCUGCCAAUUAUUUUGAAAUAUCUGAUUUUGCUUAUAUCAUUGUAAAAUCUGCAGUUAAUGUGGGGAAAUAUUGAAAUCAGAGGGAGAACUUGCUGAUGCCAGGACAAUUUUCAUUUGAACUGCAGUCAAGAUGAACACUUCUUAAUGAUUCAUAUACAGUACAGUGCAUCCCUAAAGGUUAUUUGCUAAACAAUUUGCUUGUUGAUUCUGAGUUUCUUUCUCUUGAGCAUUAUAUGAAACUGAGAUUAGAAUACAAAAGAUGAGCAUGCUCAGUUUUGCAGUUAUAUAUGCACUUAGAUCUAAUCUGUUUCAGGCAAAAGCAGGAUCCAUGCAUAGAUGUUGAAGAUUAUUUGAAUAGAUGGCCUCAAAAUUGAGAACCCUUCUACUAUUUUUGCUUAUAUUUGUUUCACUGCAUGGUUCUACUAUUGCAAAGUCUGAGAAGGAAAUCAUUCAGAGGUCUCAGACAGCUCCAAAUAGGAUCUUAGAAAGUGCACUUAUAGAUGUGACUGGUACAGAGUCUCGAUUUGAGAGCUCCAAAAGUAUUUUUCAAGGGUUUGGUGAGACGGUUGUUAAUAGCAGAGUUUCAGUGUCCACAGUUGCAUGGCUUACUCUUGCCAUGGCUGCAGCAACAGCCUUGGGCGCAAUUCCAUUUUUCUUCGUGGAGUUAGAGCCACAAUGGGCAGGUAUAUGCAAUGGUUUGGCUGCUGGAGUGAUGUUGGCUGCAAGCUUUGACCUAGUGCAGGAAGGACAGGUCUAUGGCAGCGGAAACUGGGUUGUUAUUGGGAUUUUGAGUGGAGCGAUUUUUAUUUGGCUUUGUAAGAAGGUAUUCGAUCUUCUGCUUUCCUCCAUUUUUUUCUUUCUUGCAAUAAUAAAUGAUAUUCCAUAGUGUUCUUCAUGUCAACAAAUGUAAACAUAGGAUUAAGUUUAUUGUUUUACCUUCUCUCUCUCUGUCCGGCUCGCUCUCUUCUCAUAGCUUCUUCAUUGGGCUCUUUUAUUGUUUUUAAUCGGUUUGACUUCUGUGCAUUUAACUCUCAUAAUUCUGUUUUAUCUUUUCUAAUAUAUUUUCUUGUAUUUUACCUAAUUUGAUCACCAUCUCUAUGUCCUUUUGUCUUAUCUUAGUUGAUUCAUAAGUUUGCCACCAAUGUUAAUCAACCCAUAUCAUCAUAAGCUGCAUAAAUAGCUUAGUCAGUCUUUCUAGCUUCCUUGAUUAUUUCAAGUAUAUUUUAAGUACUUAUGUUUUUGGCUAAAAAAAUAUCCUCCUGCAUUUUGUAUGGAAUUGCAAAUACUCUCCUUCAUUUUAAAUUGUUGCAAUGUCAAUCUUAUAUUUUGCACGUUGCUGCAAUGUGGUCCACCCUUCUCCUAAUUCGGAUCAGGGCUUGCGAAAGGUGCCUACUUGUUAGAUGACAUGGAGGUAGUUAUGUGAUGUAGAUUUUUUUUUAAAAAAAGGAGAUGGAAUGUAGCGUGGAUAAACCUCUCCUCCCUUCUUCCCCAAAAUCUAGGGUUUCAGAAACCCUAGUUCGUGGGGGAGGGAGCCAUGUCUUGCCGAAAGCGGCCCAUCGACGAAUCUAAGAGGUUUAGAGUUUCGGGAGGGUCCAGGGACUCAUUAUUCUAUGUUCACUCCUUCAAAAUUGAUGCCCUCUCCCUCAGCUCCGAAUCUAAGAGUUGUGACAUCUCUAGCUCCAACCCAUUGAUCAAAGUAAUGGUCUUCGAGUAUCAUUGCCUUGCAGUCUCACCAUUAUCAGUCCCCUUGAAGUGCCCACCUAGUAGGCCACCUAAAGAAGCCUUGAUAGCACAAGUCGCUGCCUUCUCGCAUGAUCACGAGCGGCGGUUCUCGCGAUAUCUCACUCGCACAUCUCGGAUUGGACAUGACUCAAUGACUUCAUCCACAUUCAGACUAAGACUAGUUGUUGUCCUAGAUUUCGAGCAAAAAUUUCUCUGAGAGGAGAAUUUUAUGGGAGACCAGGGGAGUGGUCUCGGCUGUGGGAAUGGGAAGUGGUGAUGAGUUUUUUAUCAAAAUUGGAGAGGAGAGAUGUUUGGAUACAAUCUAAGUUAGAGUUUGGGAGCUUUAGAGGAUCAAAUUGCAAAGAAUUAUUGGAGUAGAAGGGAUCAAAAAUUUGAUUUUUGAGUGGUUUAUUCAGUUAUACUUUUUCUCACAACAACGAGUUGUACUGAGAGGGCAUCCCUCAAGGCGGCCCUCUGCAACGAGAGGAGAAGAUGGAGUUGAAAGUUGUGAAGGAGAGGAGGCACUCAGAAGAAGUUUCUUGAACAAUAUGGGGAAGUAAGCAUGUUGGACAUAAAAGGUGCUGAUGCAAGUAAAGUUAUACUUGUUGUUGGAAUAAUGACCUUCAUUCUUUUGGGGAGGGUUCGGGGUUGGGGUAUCCUUUGCUGGCUCAAAGGGCUUUCUCAAGGUCUUCUGGUUACCUGGCAAUAGCUGCACAAAUACCUGAAGGCUUAGCUGUAAGCAUGGUUCUAGCAUCUCGAGGGGUCUCUCCUCAGAAUGCGAUGUUGUGGAGUUUCAUUACAUCAUUGCCCCCCCCUAACCACCACCAAAACCCCUACUUGUUCUUCAUCCACUCGUUUUAACAGUAAGCUUUUUUCCUGUAAGAUUGUGUUUUCCAUCAAACUGAAAUUGUGUUAACAUUAUGAAAGCCAGAACCUGAAAAGCCGAGGCUCUUGCACUAUCAUUUCAUAUAUUUUUAAUAAUGACCAAGUAAUUUUAACCUUCAUGCAUUGCCCUUUGGCUCGGGUCAUGGUAUCAAUAGCCCUGUUAUUCAUGAAGUGACCAUUCCCCCAAGAUGUUAUGGACAUAUAUAACAGUUAGAAAGGAUUGCCAUGAUGUUUAUGAAAAUGUAUAACAGGUGAUGCCACCUGAAGCUGGGACCUCUCCCUUGGAGGAACCAUGGAGAGGGACGCCAAACAGCUGAGAUAUGUCCUGUUACAAAACAUCUGCAAUAUCAAAUAAUAGCCACUAUUGACAGUUAGUGCAGUCAUAGCACAUAGAUUAUGGUUGUUAGUAAUAUGGUCGUGCCAACACAAAAGUGCCUCAAAACCAUGAUGAAGUUCAUUAUUUAAAACCAUGAUACAGGGUCAGCUUAACAAUUGCUUCCUUGCUAUUCAUUUUAAACAUGACCAUGCGCUGGUCUUGGGUUGGUGAGUUCACUUCUUUCCAUGACUAAUAAUACAAUUAAACAUUAAUUUGGAAAAUCUAUUUUGCUCCGUUGCUUCUAACAUAUAUCUCUGCAUUUUUUUUUCUAGAUUCCUAUCCUUGAUCCUUUGAUUGAUGAGAUUGUGUCUAUAAAGAACCAAGUUCAAUCAGUUAUGACUAUGUUUUGUUAAUCAUAAGUCAGAUCCUAAGCCAAAUUAAAGUUAAAAUUAGAUUUGUGAAUAUUUAACAGUUUCAUUGCUGUAUAAUAACAACCCCUUGCCCUUCAAAUUUUUGUAUAAUUUGUAUCACAAUUGACAAUAUAAACGAAAUAGCAGGGAGCCCCCCCUCCUCCUCUCAAUUCCGGUGAUGCUUCUUCAUACCCUGGUUGCCCCUCUCUUCCGAAUUCAUAUAUGGGUUUGUUGCUUUGUGAUUGCAUUGCCAGCUUUAAUUGCCCUUGAGGAAACUGGAUUGAGUGGUUAUGCAUGUCAAUCACUUUUUAUCUUCUCAAAUUUGAUUUUUCCAAUUUUAUUUCCUUCCAUUUGAGUGGUUAUACACCUUCAUUCCCCCUCUAUUUGCGAUUUUUCAUACAGAAUGUUGCCCACUGCUCUGGUUCAUAAUAUUGUUGAAAAUAACAUAUGCUUGUGUGCUUCUAAGAGAAGAAACUCCUGUAAUUGUGGACUUGGCCUCUUACUCUUUUAUUUCUGCUCAGAAGCUGCAUAAAAUGUUGUGUCAUGAAACUCGAGUUUGAGAAUAGUUUUGCUGCUUGGGACCACCUAACUAGGUGCCUAACGAGUAAAAAUGUUGCUCAUGUUGAUUAGAAUUCUAUCCUUUGUCUUUGUUGUCACAAGGCCUCUGUCACCUGCCUAUUUUUCCGCUGUCAAUAUGUACAUUUCUUAGUGCUUUGCUAUCAGCAUGACAUGCACAAGAAGCUCUAUCAACACAUAAUGAAGGCCUCCAAUUCCUAAUCAUUCUUAUAAAUGAUAAUUUAUUUAUUAUUUUUCAAUUUUUUUGAACUAAUUUGUAUAUUUUCCCUAAAUCUAGGAUCAUAUGGUUUAUUGUUUUCAGUUUGAGUGAUACAUAUAUCUGAAAAUGCGUUUAAUACAAAGACUUGCAUUUUUCAUCUAUUUCGGUUCCCAAUGGAAUAGAAAAACAUUUAAAGUUGGUGGAUAUGUGAUGACAUGUUGGAAAUUUCUCUGAUGGUUUUUUUCUGUGCUUUUCACAAUAUUCUUACUAAUAGCCAUUUGUCUCUCUUGAUUGUAGCCCAUUGUAGCUGUGCCUUCGUUCCUCUGUGCUGAUGCAUUCCACAAGGUACUUCCUUUUUGUACGGGCUUUGCUGCUGGAUGCAUGAUCUGGAUGGUGAUUGCAGAGGUUCUUCCUGACGCUUUUAAGGUAAUUAACUGAUCAGUCUACUUAUCAUUAUGCCCUAUGUAUAGAAGCAAAUAUAUGCCCAUGCCAAAAUUUUUGCAGAGUUUCAGGAACACCUGCAUUUUGUGAUCAUUGAAAGCUGUUGUGUGCUCUCACCAGAGGAAAAGCAAAUUGCUAAAUGCUACUUAUCUUGCUAUGAUUUACUCGCGUGUUAUCCUUCUUUUCUACCUUUGAGCUAAAUGGGUGAUGAUACUUUUCUCUUUUUUCCAGGAAGCAACUCCUUCUCAAGUUGCUUCUGCAGGCACGCUGGCUGUAGCAUUCAUGGAAACCUUAGGCACAGUCCUCCAAAGUCUUAGCCAUGGCUACAAGUAAGCGUCUGCUGUUCGUCUAUCCGCAAUUUUUAUUUUUAGUAAAUCCAACAUCUAGACUUGAUAUCUUGUCCUUCUCUGCUAUAUGUGAAUGUAUUUUUGCAAGAGCCUCUGGUAAGCUCUAACCAAAAUCUGUUUGAUUUGUGUCGCAGCUCGGAGGAUGCCUCUGGCUUCUUAGUUUCUCUGCUAUUUGGUCUUGGGCCAUUGCUUGGUGGAAUGAUACUUGUUGUUUUUUCUCUUGCCUUCUAUCUCCAACAUUCUCUUCUCACUGGUGUAGCCUCCGGCAUUGCAUUUCUUCUUGCUGCAUGGAGGCCUCUACAGCUUCUUUUGUCUUGGAAGAUGGGGUUCUUUACCCUGACAUUGUUGCUUAUUGCUGGCUCAGCUUUAUCUCACAUGUCCACAGCUAGCAUCUUAAGGGUGGGUCGUCGCAAGGUGUCUGCCAAUGACCUUGCAUCUUCUUGUGGCCUUUCUGUGAGUCCCCUUACUCUUCAGUCAUUCGUGGCAUGCGGGGCCAUCUCCCUUCAUGCCCUGGCAGAGGGGCUUGCUCUAGGUGUGGCAGCCCCGAAGGCUUACGGGCUCGGCCGGCACAUGGUUCUGCCAGUUUCACUACAUGGGCUGCCACGAGGUGCUGCUGUUGCAAGUUGCAUCUUCGGCGCCACUGACAGCUGGCGGGGAGCCUUGGCCGCUGCUGCCUUGACUGGAUUUGCAGGCCCCAUGUCUGCCAUUGGAGCUAUACUCGCUGGUAUUGACUACAGUGGACUUGAUUAUUGGAUGGUCCUUGCAUGUGGCACACUGCUCCCUAGCUUUGGCAGUGUUUUCCAGCGAGCGCUGAAGUUGGAUGCAAGGAAGAGCAUCUACGGGCUCUUGAUGGGGCUCGGAUUUGCCUGCGUGUGUUUAACAUCCACCAGGUUGGUUUGCCUGCACACACCUUACUGCAAUUCAGCACCAGAGGCUGUCACUUAAGUUGCCGACUGAAUUCUUAAUUUGUUCUUGUAUCGUGAGCGCACUUGUGCACAGAUCUUUAUAAGCCACCUGGUUGCCUUGGAAAUCUAUCAGGCUGAAGGGUGAAACCCAGAUGCUUAGAGAGGCUGAAAAUAUUAGGAAGAGAGAGUUAUCAUUAGGUUGAUCAUAAGGGAAAAUAGAAUAGUUAAUAGUGGACAUGAAUUUCUAUACGGUUGGUUUCUGGAAUGAAAAUUUAGGAUGGAUGUUGGAGGAGUGAUGCAUAUACUUGGGCUUUCAUAAUGAUAAUGAUGGGACAUUGAACAUAAAACAAGUUUUCGGUCCUUUUAUCUUCAGUAAAUUCAAUUGAAUGUAAAGAGUGAAUUUCUCUUAUUUGGUGGAAAAUCGCAUUUUGCUGUGCGUAUUGCUGCUUGUGUGUCAGGUGAGUUAUUAUCUGGGUCUGACGACUACAUCUUCUGUUUGGCUGCAGAAUGGCGUACCACAAAACAAUGAGUUAGAAUGGAGUAAACUACCCUUAAACUUUUAAAAUUUUCAUAGGUACCCUGAAGCCAGAGAGGGCUGCAGAUGUAUACUUGAUGGAAUGCGUAUGGUUUAAUAUAAACUAAGCUAUCUCUGUUUGCCCUGCAUAUAAAGUUUAUAUACGAAGGAAAUAAAGCUACACUAGGUCCUAUAAAUCUCAUAUUGUCUUGGUUUCAACAUCCUUUGGUUCCUGAGAACAUUCAUUUUUCAACUUCAAUUGUAUGGACGGAGCAACAAACUUGUUCUGUCACUUAUGCAACGUGAAACAUCGGCCUCCUGACCUAAACUUUCAGGGCUCUCAAACAGGGAAAUUUAUGGUUUUUUUGGAGGAAAGCUGAGAAAGCUAUAUCAUGCUAAUUGCACGGAGCUAUCCUGGUAAAAUGAAAUGAAAGAAGAAAUGAAAUUGGGGAUCAAGAAACUUGGACAAACGUGUGGUAUUUUUCUUACCACGUAAGAUCAUUUUUAGGGCACUUUGCAUCACAUGCAUCUUAUGAUUCUUUUUUUAUUUUAUUUCAACAUGGUUGUAUGUCACAUUUUAUCGGCAUUCAGCCAUUGCAUCCAUACAAUCCUUGUACAUUAAGGUGCCGUUCAGUGAUCCAGAUGAGAUUACUAAGAUAAUUUUAGAUCAAUGAUGACUCUUAUCCUGCUGUAGUCCGAUCUUCGAUAAUUUAAGAACACUACAUUUGGCAUGGUAUGUUUCAGUAAUUAAAGGUCUUUCGGUAUUCAUAAGUAACUUGUUUGGAUAUCCAUAUAAUACCAAAACUAUUCCUAAUAUCUUUCAUAAAAAUAUAUUUAUUAAUUCUAUAAAUUAUUAAUACUAUUAAAAUAGAUUAAUUCUUAUUAUAUAAUUAAUAUUUUUAUUUGUACUUAUCAUAUAUUAUCAUUUUAAUACUAGUAUUUAUUGUGAUUAGAAAAAUAAGAUAAAUAGAAGUAUUAUAUUAAGUAAUUUUAUAAUAUAAAUAUAAAGUGCAAUAAUAUAUUUCUAUUAUAAUUAUUAAACUUAAUUGAAUAAUAUGACAAUAAUAUGGUUAAUGAUAUAUUAUAAUACAAUAUAUAUCGUAAAUACUAUAUAAAUAAUACCAAUCUUGUACAAUAUAUAAUUAUAAUAUAUAUUUUUCAUUAAAUUUGGAGCAUUCUUAUUCUCAAAUUUCAAGCCAAGAUCGUUGCCUUGAGGUAAUCUUGAAUAGCAGUCCUCAAGAAUAAAUUUGGCAUUACCAUUUACUAUGUUGGACCGGAUUUAGGAUUACUACUAUAUAGAAUUACCAGAUGUAAAAUAUAAUAAUCUAGUUAUUUUCACCUGCAUCAUCUUUGAUCUUGGGUCAUCAUCUAAUACUAACCGCUGGGCAAAAGCUGCAAGUCCUCUAUUUGCGCCCACUGUGAGUUUACUGGUCGGCAGUCUCGGUGUCCAUUUGGUGUAGAGUGCGUUGCUGCAGAGCGGCUUACGAUUCUUUCUCAAACGUAACAUGGGAGGCGUCCAGUUAUAUUACUUUUAUUUUCACCAAGAGUAUCAAAUAAAAAAUAACUUUGCUCUCCAGAAAUGCCUUUAAUUUCCAUAACUACAUGAAACUAGGUUUAACCAGUUUGAUUUAUAAAUUUUAAUUCGCCAAUCAUUCUUAGAGAAAACACGCUUCAACAUUUUCCUUAGAAAAAAGAUGUAACAACACAGGAUCUCACCCAAAAUGGCUAGCCGGAAGAUAUUGUUUGGGUUCUUUGAUUCUGUAUAANNNNNNNNNNNNNNNNNNNNNNNNNNNNNNNNNNNNNNNNNNNNNNNNNNNNNNNNNNNNNNNNNNNNNNNNNNNNNNNNNNNNNNNNNNNNNNNNNNNNNNNNNNNNNNNNNNNNNNNNNNNNNNNNNNNNNNNNNNNNNNNNNNNNNNNNNNNNNNNNNNNNNNNNNNNNNNNNNNNNNNNNNNNNNNNNNNNNNNNNNNNNNNNNNNNNNNNNNNNNNNNNNNNNNNNNNNNNNNNNNNNNNNNNNNNNNNNNNNNNNNNNNNNNNNNNNNNNNNNNNNNNNNNNNNNNAAAUGGCUAGCUGGAAAGUAUUAUUUGGGUUCAUUAAUCCUGUAUAAGUACCCAAUAUCUACCCAGUGAAUAAUCGAUUUGGGACUAAACACACGCCUGCACAGGUUCUCACAUACUCCCUCCGUUCAAGCCCCAACAUCCUCGUCAGGUUAAUUCAUAUCUAAUCACAAACACUACGAUUGGUCCGUAGUCAGCCCCGAUGAAUCCGUGCUGCAGUGUUCCCUAGUCCACAUAGGUUAUGGGCCGGGUCCGCUCUGAUGUCAUUUGUAACAAUCCAGAAUCUCACCUAAAAUGGCUAGCCGAAAGGUAUUAUUUGGGUUUCUUGAUUCUGUAUAAGUAUUCAAGAUCUAUCCAGCGAAUAAUCAAUGUGGGACUAAAUACAUAUCUGCACGGGUUCUCACAAAAGGAAUAUGUAAUCUUAACAUUAUCUGCUCUAUGUUUUUAUCCAUUCAAACUUUUGCAGGUGUCGGUAUUCGCAAGCCGAUUCGGCGUCACAUGCACGCGUCAUAGCAGGAAGCCUGCACGUGUCUUCCAACACCCCAAACCUCUUGCAAGCUCAGGAUAAACGGCGAAGAUGACGUAUAGGCUCGUUUGAUUUGUAAAAAAUAUUUUUGUUUAGAAAUAUAAUUUUUUAAAAAAUAUUUGCAAAAGCAUUUUUGGCAUGGUUGAGAUUUGACAAUAAAGAAGCGGUGAAUUUUUAAGGUGCUGGUGGGCCAUUUAUUUUUUUCGAACUAAUAAAAGAAAAAACAAACAAACAAAAAAGAGAGAAGACGAUAUAUAGCGAGCGAAAGCGGAGGUUUCACGCCACCGGAAAAACAGGCUAGGGUUCCCAAUUCGACCUCUCCGUUACUUUUUAGCUGCGAGCGAGCGAGCGAGCGAGAGAUGAAGAUUUAUCACAUCCCUUGCUUGGAGGACAACUAUGCCUACCUGUAAUAGUUUUAUCCCUGCCAAUCACUUCUCCUUUAUCCUUCUCUAAACCCUAAUUAAACCCUUGUUCUUCUGUCUCUGUCGUUCUCUGCUUUUAACUAGACUAGAUUUCGUAAAGCUGACUCCUUCUAUCUCGCCGAAAUGGCAGAAUCGUGGACGAGAGCACGAAGGAAGCGGCCGCCGUCGAUCCCGUGGAGCCCAAGAAGAUCAUCAAGUGCGCCAAGGAGAUCGGCGCCGAUCUCAAGCUCGUCCUCACCACUCAUCAUCACUGGUUUUCCUUCUUCUCGCCCGAUACGUUUUUAAACUUCGAAUUUGGUUUUUCUUUCAGUUGGAGAAAACCUUGAAAUAAAUUACUUGAAUUGCUUGUUGGAAAUGAUUCUGAAUCUGCCUUUUAACAAACAAGUCGAGUUGAUUAGACUAAUCUUUAUUUUUCUUGGCGAAAAGAUUGGAUCUUUGGGCCUUCGUCGUUUCUGGAAAUGAUUUAAAUUUGGGAUUUUAUAUGUUUCCUGUGAUGCUGAGUGUGCUUCUGAUAACAAAAGGUUGGUUUCUUCUUACUGCGAGUUGGUUUUAUCUGGGAUAGGGAUCAUUCCGGUGGAAAUGAGGAGAUUAAAAAGCUGGUGCCAGAGAUUAAGGUCUUUGGUGGGACAAUAGACAAUGUUAAAGGGUGCACAAAUAAGGUUGAGAAUGGGGACAAAUUUACUCUCGGGGCGGAUAUUAACAUACUGUCCCUCCACACGCCAUGGUAUGUCGUUGCCUUCUUGUGAUUAGUUAUUAUGCUGGACUCUUUGGCAAUUGGAUUUGUGGUGAUUAUUAUUUGGUUACUGUAGAUGGUGCACUUUCUUAUAAUGGUCUGGAAUGUUGUAACUUCUAAGGAAGAAUGUGAAUACUAGAAUUACUGAUUUAAUGCAUUGUUAUUAUGAUACACAACAUACCGGUCAAUAAAGUAUGCUUUGAUUUGAGCAAUAAACUGAUUCACAGUUUCUAUAAUUUUCUUUGCCAGUUGAAUAGAAUUCACAUAACACAUGAAGCAUUCUUAGGUUGAUUUGAUGUAAAUAUUGAAAAUGAGUUCUAUGAAAACAAAGUCAAUAUGGAGCUAGAUGUAGCUAUGGAGAUAGGCCUUCAUUUGGUUGCUGCAUCAGUAUCUGUGUAUAUAUUUGAUACUAGUAUGUUACAAAACAAAGCUGAUGGUUUAACUAAUCAAAAAUUCAUGAGAAAGACUGAAAUGACAAGAGGUUGGUCAGAACCUUUUCUUUUAUAACAUUAUGCAACAUGGUGGAGGAGUAGGGAGAAUGAUAGGCUAAACUUCGUUCUCCAGACCAUUAUGAGUCCCCCUCUCCUCUUUUUUUGUUUUUGUUGUUUUCACCGUUGCCGCUGCUACCUCCAUCGCCAUUGCUGCUGCUGCGGCCGCCUAUGUCAUAGCCACAACUACCACUGCAACUGCCGCCACCUUCAUCAUUGCGACAUCGCUGCCACUCCUGCUGACAUUACUGCUGUCGCCGCACCUCCAUCAUCAUCGCCACCAUUGCCAAAUGUAGGAAGAGAGGUUUGUUCUUGAGAAAUUUUUUUAUCUACAAAAAUAAAAAUGAUUCAUUGCAAAAAUCUUGCUUAUGCUCUUGAAAAUUUAAAAAUAAAAUCAAAACAUAAUUUGUCUUUUCUAAUUUUAGAAAUAGAAACCUCUGAUAAGGGUUAGAAGAGAGGUUGGUUCUCAAGAAAUGUUUUGUGUACAAAAAUAAAAAUGGUUCAUUCCAGCAAACAAAAAAAAAAAAAAAAAAAAAAAAAAAAAAAAAAAAAAAAAAAAAAAAAAAAAAAAAAAAAAAAAAAAAAAAAAAAAAAAUACUUAUGUUUUUGUAUUUUUUUUUAAAAAAAAGUAAAAGCAUAAUUUCUGUUUUCUUAUUUUAAAAAUAAGAAAGUGAAAUUUAUGCCACCCACAAACUAAAUUAUUUAUUACUCUAAUAACCAAAACUUAACCAAUAAAGCGUAUUACAAUUCUAAAACAUUCAUUAGAUUACAACUCCAUGUAUAUUUCAUGCAUGUUCAUUGGGCAUAUGAUUAUAGAAUUCAGAUCACCUUUUGUAUCCUGCUAUCAGAAGGAAAAGCAUUUUUCCCUUAUUUACUUUAUAUUAAUAGGUAAUCAUGAGUUUUUGAUACUUGUCGUAAGUUGAUAUGAGGAGAUGGCAAAGCUCGAAAAACUAUAAGAUAUUUAAGUUAUUCGUCUAAAUUAUCAACUUCUUAUUCUAGUAUCUUCUUUUUCCUUGCUUUAUCUGUAGUUCUGUACCCUGUGCGUUCUAGCACCUUUAUUAAAAAAAAUUAAGCCGAGGCUGUUGUUUUUCAGUGUAACAGUUGCUAUGUAUAGAUAAUUAUUGGGUUAAUGUUAUGCUUGUUUGCUUCCAUCAGCCACACUAAAGGACACAUAAGCUAUUAUGUGACCGGCAAAGAGGAGGAAGAUCCAGCUGUGUUUACUGGGGACACAUUGGUGAGCGGAGAUAUUUUUGCAGAUGCAUUUCAUAAUAGAGUGUUUUUAACAUUUUUACUGACUGAUUGUGGCAUUCUUUUUCAUUCUCUUUUUCUUCUGCAGUUUAUUGCUGGCUGUGGAAGGUUUUUUGAAGGUACUGCAGAUCAGAUGUACCAAUCAUUAUGUGUAACAUUGGCUUCAUUACCAAAGCCAACUCGAGUUUACUGUGGCCAUGAGGUAUAUCUUCUAAUUAUUUGAUGUUUGUUUGAUUACUAAUCAUGAAAAUGGGGCCACACUAUAAUUAGAACCGAUCCCAAAUAGCUAUGCUAAGGGCAGUUGGUUUUUUUUUCUUUUUCUUUUUCUGGGUUAUAAUUAAGAAAGAAGAGGUCAAGGUUUCUUGGUCUUUUGCAUAACGUUUAAACAUGUCAGGCUAGAAUGUUAUUUUCUUAAUUGUGCCUGUACCGCAUAAGAUCACCUUGCUUCUAGAAUCUACUUAAGAGAAUGUCAUUGUAAAAUUUUAUUUAUAAUGGACUACUCCAGAUUGUCAUUGCUCAUUUACCUCCAAUUGAUAGAUUCAAUUCUCUGUUUCAGUUGCAGCAAAUACUUUAAAAUCUUUUUAUUAGAUCUUAGAAAUAUUGGGGAUGAAUUAUUAACUUUGUUAAUAUGUUUAUUUAUCACAAUGUGAUACUUGUGUAGAAGCUUUGGCAUAUUUAUCCUAAUUGGUUGCUUCAACUGUGAUCUGAUUUCAGCAGGUUUUUCGAUCAUUUGCCUAUGAAUUACUUGCUUUUUCAUUUGCAUGAGAUAUACAUUAAUACUUGCGUGACAGUGACUUGUGAACAUGGUCUUGCAGCUGAUGAAUAUAGGUAAUGUAACAAUGGUAAAAAUAUCCCACUAAUCUUAGUAUGAGAUGAUUUAAUGAAAUGUAGAAAUGGAACAGUGGCCUUGUAUACAAUGGUAAACGGUUGUCACUUGUCAGUGUAUUAAAGUACAAGCUACAUUGCAAGAAGUUGUGGUGGAAUGCAAGCUAGAGCUCCAUUCCCUGAACAGCCAGCAUGCAAAUACCAUGCACUACACCCAUAAGCAUUUACUUGGUGCUAGAGAGAGCACGUCAUCGUGAUUAUUGGACUUGAUAGUAGGAGAGCACAUCAAUAUAUAAUCAGGAUAUCUAAAUUGAUUGUCAUAACUAAUGAGAAAUUUUGUCAUUUUAAGCUGUAAUUUACAUUUUUGUAUUCAUUUGUGAAUGUGCUGGGCAAAUGAUUGACAUGCCAUUUUUUUGCCAGUACACAGUAAACAACUUGCGGUUUGCAUUAACAGUUGAGCCAGAGAAUGAGAAGAUAAAGCAAAAGCUCUCAUGGGCCCAGCAUCAGCGUCAGGCAAACCUACCAACCAUUCCUUCAACCAUUGGGGAAGAGCUUGAGACAAACCCCUUCAUGCGUGUCGAUGUAGCAGAGAUACAGGUCUUAAGCAUUACAUUUAUGGUUUUCAAUUACACACUGUUACAAAAUAAAAUUUAGAUAUUGACCUCCAUUAUUAAUAUCUUAAUGCAUACGGUAUUGAAUGCCGCAAUCUAGAUGUGAUUUGGGAAUUGUAUGUAAAGAAGUUGGCCUAACUGUUGCUUCAGCCAUCUAAUAUCUUCGCUUCCAAGCCAACAAUCUUUGGAUUGACGUUGGCCUAUGAAUCACAUAGUAGAUACUGCAGAAUUCAGUGUUCCAACAAUAGUGACACCUGAUAUUGAAGGAGGCAUUUGAUGAAGUUGAACGGUAAAGUACACCGCAGAAGUUCAUGUGCUUUGUAGCAUGUAAAUUUGAAUUUUAAGUAUUUAGGUCAAUUUUCUUUGAAACCAAAGGGGUGGUAUGGCUUUUGGAGAUCUUUUAGAGUUCCCACCAUUUACAAGACUUUAUUCCUCCAGUUUUUCCAGACUUCUUGCCAACAAAUUGCCAUUGUAAAGUACAACCAGUUUUUAUAGGUCUUCAUUCUGCUUCAGAACCUGUUAUCCUAAUGGUUGAUUUUGCAAUGGCUUAUGCCAUUAGUUUCCUUCUUGGAGGUCAAGUUGCAUGCCGUUACUGAAAUCUACUGAAGAACAUAGCAAUUAAUCAUUCAGCUUCUCUUUUUUCCAAAUUCCUUGAUGACUCUGAAGAAAGAUUAACUCUGUCUAUGCUUUGCAGGCAAAAGUUGGCUGUCAUUCUCCAGUUGAAGCCAUAAAAGAAAUAAGGAGGCUGAAAGAUAAUUGGAGAGGCUGAUGAAAAUUUGGGGCUCCUGAGCUUUUUAAUUUAGUGUUUACACUUUGGCUUGGGCAAAAACAACAUGUAUUCUAAAUGAGUGUUCGUAUGUCUUCAUGUGGCAACCAGACUUGAAAGGCUCAGGUUGAAGUUUGAAGGCUGUUGCCAUCCUAAAUGGUCAUGUGAUAACUACCUCGUGUUUUGAUGAUCUGUAGGGAUACGGGUUGCCAGCUUUCAGGGGAUAUAAUGUGUCCAAACCUUGCUUUUCUAUAAUAAUCAGUUUAUAUCGUUCAUAUAUUAUCACAAAUUAUUCAUGUCCUAUUGGUGCUGUGCUAAUAAUUAUUCAUUAAAUGGCUAUCGAUUAACAAUUAAUAGUGGUAUUUAUUGAUUUGAGUCAUUCACUUAUCCAGUUAUCCAUCCUCGGUUUGCAUGGAAUUGGAAUAUGAAUAUUUUACAUCCUCUAUUGCCUUGUUAUGCUCUGAGUUGUGGACUAAAAAGCAGGGAGACAUAUUAAACAUUCAUGUUCUUUUUUAAUUAUGGAGAAAAUUUUUACAUUGGAUAUCCAGGGAGUGAGAAACGGACAAGUUGGUUUAUAUUUAGACCCACUCUCUCAUUGGUCAGGUUCUUGAGUAGUAGAUUUGUUGAGAUCCUUCCCUUAGAGGGUCAGGUUGGGUGUACAAGGCUUCUUUCAAUAAUCACAUAGGGGGCUAAGUAGGCUUGAAUUAAGUUCUCUUUUCUAGCAAUUCAACUUAAAUCUCUGCAGUUAUCAUCUUUAACCCUUGUCAUAAACUGGUGUUAAUGUCUACGUUUUUACUAAAUGCAGGCUCGUUUUCCAGCUUUAGCAAAAAGGAAUUCAGGCGAUCAAACUGCCUAGGUAAAGGAGAUAGAUUUUUUUUUUUUUUGCAGGUAACAAUGUCCCUAUAAAGUAUAAAGCAUUGGAUCAAGCAAUCUCCCAAGGAGGCCAAUCAUAGUUUCUCUAUCUUCAUAAUUAAUUGAUUACAAUGCAAGCUGCCAAAGCCUUCAUGUGUGCUAUUUGAGCUGUCUUUGUAACAAGAUACUGCUCCCUGUCCAUCGUUUUAUUGAUAUAUCCUUUCUUGCCUAGAUAGAAGCAUAGAUCAACUAUCAAUAUUUUUUUAUUAGAACACAUUAUAAAGAUUCCUCUAAUUUUAAAAAAAAAAUUACUUACAAUCUAUGACUUAACAUAACAUAAGUCAAAUUAUUGAUUUUAAAUAAAAAUUUGAAUAUCAUAUAAAAAAAUUAAAAUGACCAAAACAAUCUCGAGUGACAAUGAUUAUUCAAGAAUAUAAAAAAAAAUAUGUAUUUUCCUCUUUUUCUCAAAAGCAAUCCUAGUUUUUUAAGUGAGAUAAAUAGUCUUACUAAUGAUGUUAGUUAAAUUAGAUAUUAGCAUAGAUUUUAUGGAUUAAUAGAUACAUAAUAAAUAUAAAUUAAAAAAAUAUUAUUUAUUUAUUAAUUUAUUUAUGUAUUUAUUUUGUUGUGGAGCCUUCACUCAUAUCUGUAAACAAAAUCUUGCAGUCGCUUCGAGCAAACGCGAGGACACUAGAUAGGACGUGACUUUGGAUUUCGAAGGAAAUCUGUUCAAGAGCGCUUGAAGUGGCAUUUCCGCUAGCCCUUAUGGAACCACGGGGCACCAUAUAUAUAUUUUUUUUUUUUGCAACGGCGGCUCACAUCCUACGGAUAUGAAUACGGCCUACAAAAUCAGAAGCAAGUAAAUCUAAAAAAGACUCCGGCACAGUAUCGGGCUCCCGCACAAUAAAACCACCAGAAUGGUGAGCCACAUAGGAAGAGGCCCAAUCGGCCCAUAAUUCACGUGGCACCAACUUCCCAAUUCCACCGCAAAUAGUACCAGCUUCUGUUUCUCUAUUUACAAAAGAGCCCUCAAUAUGAUUCACAUUUUACCUGUAUACCCCUCGUUUAGACCGAGGGCUUAUUCCUCCUUCCACGACGUACUCCUUGCAGUCGAUGGAUCUCUCUCGCUUGACCCCCUAAGUUUUGACUAAAAUUAAGAUCAGAUGGCGAAAUUGUUCUGGUUGGAGGCCGUUCUUCCUCUUGGAAUCAUCGCCGGAAUGCUUUGCGUGAUGGGCAACGCGCAGUAUUACAUCCACAAAGCCGCUCAUGGAAGAGUUAGAUCAAUAUCAUUCUUUUACCUUUGUUUUUUCUUUUAAUCUGUGGAUAUAUAUAUUUUUGUUUUAUUUUAACUGGAAUUUUAAAAAAAAUCCAGCCAAAGCACAUUGGGAACGAUAUGUGGGAUGAGGCUAUGGAGAGGAGGGACAGGAAGAUCGUGGAGCACUACUCCGCUGCCGGGAAUUAGGUCGGCUCCGGCCAAUAGGUUUGUUAUCUUCUGUCAUUUCCUUGAUCGGUUUAUUGGUAUUAAAAUUCUCGGAUUAGGGUUUGGAUUGGCUGGGCAUCGUUGUGGCGUGUUUUGUUUUGAUGAAUGUUGAGAUUAGGUUCUGUUUGAUGGAGUUUUUUAUGUGAAAAUUCUGGGUUUGGUUGGUGGAAACCGCUCCUGAUGUUGGGGUUUAGUCGUUAUUGAUGAGUGGAUAAUUGUCUGACCUCUUUCCCCUUUGUAAUAAUCCCAUUUGUUGUCUUCCAUUGUAUUUUCUUAUUUUUAUUCACGACUACUUUUGAUUUCUAAUAAAGUUGCUUGGCAUUAUUCUUCUCAAAAAAUUUGGUUUGCGCUAUGCACAAGUAUAUUCGUUUUUGGAAUCGUUAAAUGUCAUGCUGAAGUUGAUCACAUGGUUCUUCUUUUUUUUUUCUUGAGUAGAAGCUCUUGUGAUUUGUUGAGGGAUUUUCGAUAUAUGAUUAGGGAUGAUCUAGACUAAGUUAUAAACUAUAUUCGUAGUGGAAAGAUUUAUUCUACAUUGCUGGGCUCUAUCUUGUAAUUGAUAAUGAGAAUAGUUUGACAAGGCUGAAGAACUUAAAAAGGUCACAUGCAGAUGUUCAUGGGAGUAUCUUGAGUUAGGGCAUUAGAAAACUCCCUCAUGAUACAAUCUGGUCCAUUUCUAUGUACACGGAGAUUAAAGCAGUGGGAAGUCCUCAUGAAGAAGAUGGCUUUGCUUCCAUGUAAUAGUUUGUGGCCAAGGAGGAGGAUUGUGUUGGGUGAUGCACUGGAACAUGGGAAUGGAAGAAGAGAUUUAAUCAUUUGUUAGAUAAUGGUCGUAAACCAUCAUAUCUGCUGAGUGUGAUGACUUUGAAUGAGUAGAAGUGAGAGGUGGUCAUGUAGAUAUGCUUGGUAGUUUAAUGGGAUUGCGAGUACAUAUUUUGGCCUUUUGGAUUAAGGGAGGGUGUUCAAUUCAGUGGUAUCCUUGCUUGUUACCAUUCAUGGCCAGGUAUAAGAGUGGCGCAGGAUCUGUAAUUUCUUCUAUGAUGCUUGGAAUAAUUUGUUACUCUCAUCCAAAUCAGACUUGGAUUGGUUGAAAACGAGGGAAAUUUCUCUUCCUCAUUUUUGGAUGUUGCAGAUUUCCUCAUAAGGUAUUUUUUUCAUCUUAUCAUUUCUAGUUGGAUGGCUGUAAUGUCAAGUAAUACCACAAAAGUAAGGCUAAUCCAAAUCAUGGCAAUUCUCUCCUUUUUUUGAAUGUAGACAAAGGAUUUUCCAGAAAUCAUGUGCAGCAGGAGGUUCUAUUCUACAAAAUUUUAUAACAAGUGAAAUAGCAAAAAGGUGUUACUAAUCUAUCCAUCUUUAUGUUCUAUAUGCAAAAUAGAAAAAAUAAAUAAAAAAAGUAUAAUAUAAAUUGUAUUGGGUUAACCUAUCCAAGUUCUGAUAUCAAGGAAAAAAGAGAAAAAAAAUUGUUGUUAUGUCCUUUUCAGGUUGGAUUGGAUGAAGUCAUAAACUAAUCGGCUUUCUAGAUGAAACUUGUAUGUUCCAGAUGUUAAUGCAGGGUUCGGAGAAUUUAGGAAAUCAACGAGAAUUUUUGAAGGUUGAUGCAAUUCUAGAACUUUGCUAAGGAUUUUAAGUUAAGCUAUUCCAUCCCCUAACAUUGAUAUGUGGAUGAUGUUCUUCCUGCUCAUAAGAUGAUGUUCAGGGACUAAUAAACAAGAAAGAGCUGGAGAAGGAUUCAGAGGCUCAAUGUUCUGAGGGGAAAAUUCCUUGUUUCAUCCUGACCCAUCAUUUGACCAGUUGUCACGAGAUGGGCAAGAAGAUUCAAAAUGAAGUGAAUUUCCUAAUUUGAUACAACCUUCUUCGUGCAUCUGAGAGAAUUUAUUUGGAAAUUUUGCACCUAUACGGAGUCCUCAUGCGGUGGUUAAGCUCUUGCCCAUCGAUGGCCUUUCUUGAAUUACUAUGCGUAGUAGACAUACUUGACCUUAUUUAAAAUAAAAUGUAUUUAAGAAAGUUGUUAAGUUGCAGUCAGUGACUAUUCCAACUUGGCGUAGCCUUUAGAAUAGAUUGAUGACACUCUGAAAUUGAAGGUUCAGAUCAAUUGGUGCAACUACCGCUGUGUCAGAUGAGAGAAGUCUUAACUUUGUGAUGGAUAUGUAAGAGUAGAAACUGAAGGUAGAAUGUGGAUUUUCUUAUUGAUUAGUGUUGGCAUUAGAUACACACAAGUAUUCCUGCAGACGCUUAUCGACUUACCUUAUUUUCUUUUUUAAGUUUACAUCAUUUUUCUCUGGAUGCAUCAUGAGGUCACUGGAUACACCACAAGUAUACUCAUGGUUGCACAUUGGUUUUGCACUCUUUAGCAUUUAUUUUGUGGCUUUGGUUGUUGUUUGUGAUUUUUUAUACUCACAGAUUCCCCUGGGAAGGUAUGAGACAGAUUCAAUCAUAUCCAUGCAAAAUAACAGCCUAUAGGGUUUUUAUGAUAUAUUAAAAAAAUACAUCAGGUCUAAUAUGAUGUGUCUAAGCAAAUAUGGUAUUACAUGUUUAAGAAGGCAUGCCCUCUUGUGAGUUGCAACUAUAUGCAGCCUUGUACAUGUCCAUGCACAAUCUAGAUCUUCAUAUAUACGAUUAAUUAUUUAAUUCAUGCAUAAUCAGUCACAAUAUAGUAACCAUAAAAGUCCAAGUCAUUUGGAGUGUGAAUUUUCAUUUGCAUGGUGUUGAAAACUGCAGUUAUUUAUUGUGUGUUUAAAUACUAUCGAUAUUUGAAAACUAUAGCUGGGCAUUUUUAAAUUUGGUUCCUCUGGUGCAGAUUAUGGCAUAUUGAUGGAACAGUCAUCUUUGUUGGAAAUAAUGUUCCUUGAAACUUGGAGACAAUAUGCUUUCCGGUUUCUUGGACCAUAUCUCUUUUUCAUAUCCUUGUCCCUUAUGCAUUUCAGGAGCCUCUCAAAUAUGAUAUGCAAGAUCUGUACACCUUUGUUUGGAUGUUCGAGAUGUUGUUAAUCGAGUACUGACCUUUCUUUUCAAGAUAAAGAGAAAGAACUGGUUUAUGGCUACAAUGAAUGGAUUUAAUUUGUUUUAUUUCUGAUCUCUAAAUUCUGAAAAUGUCCACACUUGGGAAGCAUGUUCAGGAUAAUAGAAGUAAGAUCUGUAGUUACAUAUGUGUAUAUCCUGUAGGCUUUGCGUUUGUGAUAUGGUCUGGUUUAUGGGGUAUGGCUGCACAUUUAUGUAUGCUUUUGUUAAAGCCUUUGCCUGGUAGCAUCCCAGUUCUCUAAUAUUCUAACAUAUCUCAGUCAUAUCAGAAUGCCACGUAAAAUAUGCACCGUACUUAUGCUUCAAUUCAAAGCUUCAGAGCACUUGAUCCUUGAAAUUUUAAAUACAUAACAACCUUUUUAAGAAACUAAUUUGGUUAAAAGAUUGAUAGCUGAAAAUCACUUGUAAUUACUUGCAAGUGAAUAUACAUCCCAAGGAUUUUCCAGAAAACACUGAAUAAAUGCUUAUAUAGCAGAAACUAGGUAAAGCAUGUAAAACAUAUGUCCAACUAUACAAAAAAAAAAAAAGAAUCAGUUCUUGCUACAUGGCAUUCUGCACUGAAACCUUUGCAAAGAAUGAAGCUGAAACAAAUGAUAAACAAAAAUUAGAAGAAAAAAAUAGAGUGCAAAAUUAAAUCAAAUGCCAAGAUGUAAUGGGCAUUACAAUGGUUCUCUGCAUAGAUUCAAGAUUGCGAGAUCCUCUGGCUUAUCCCUUCCAAAAGACGCCCAAUUCAUGAUGCUCCACCCCUGAAUCAAAGGCACAUACUCAUCCUCAAGCCCCCCUGGCCGAGUCCUCAUCCCAAUCGCCACCGGCGCUCGAGCACUCCCCACCUGUGCCAUCUCCAAUGCCUCCCCCACCUCGGCGUCGCUUUCCAUCCGUUCCACCUUUCUCCGCCUGUAACUUUCCACCAAUGCCACAAAGAAAGUCAGUGAAACCAACCCCAUGAAACCUCCCAUCACUGCUCCAAUAAUCUUCCAUGCCACAGAUUCAUCACUCUUACCUCCCUCGAAGCUCAACCGUCGGCUCGGCACCGGAGAAGGAGCAACUCUACAAGAAUUAACAACAAUAGAGAAAUGCCCCUGCCUGUACGAGCAAAGAUUGCUCCCCACCAAGUCUCUAUACUCCAACGAGCUAUCUAAAUUAAACCAGACACCUAGCCGUCCUUCCAUUUGGCACCGCCUUCGCAGUACUGAAUCUGAUGGAAAUGGCCGACUUCGAUGCCACGAGGUCGAGCUCCGGCAGAUUGCUGGCCGAAAUGUUCUCGGCAUUGUAAGCCAAAAAUCCAAUCACAAAAGUGAGAUAGCUGUAGCCUGGUGGAAGAGAACAAUAGAUUGAAGACCGGUUGCCCAAGUUGUGAUAAACCAAAGCAAGCCUUCGAACGUAAGGCUGGACAAUGACUCCAUUUGGGAUCUCGAACUCCUUGUAUCUCUUGAAUCCUCUAUUCCUAAAGCUUCCAUUCCUGAGCCUCAAAACAGCAAUCUUAACGCCGGAGACGUUCGACGGCGCAAUGCCGACGUAGGGGACGCCGGUGUGGGGUUGGUCGAAAGCUCGGUAGGCGUAGUCUUGGAGGACGGAAUGCAAGGCCCUGGCUGGGGUUGGUGAACUGUUGGCUGGCUGGGCUUUGAGCUGGUGACUGGAGAGAAGGCUGAUGACAGCGAGAAGGAUCAUGGAGCAUUGAAUGAACUCCAUUGUUAGGUUUCUUAAAAUACCAGCAUUGCUUUGUUAGGCUCCACCGAAGCAAUGUUUUGGAGGAUUUGGACUCAGAUAUAUGUUGAGUACUACCAUAUCUAAAAAGAUAAAAGCUUGGAUUCGGGGGGAGUCCCAAACUGUCAGGAUUUCGAUACAGUGGUUUUUUUGUUUUGUCAGGAUUUACUUGGCGUUGGAUCUUAGAAGGUUUAAUGGUCACGAUUCCAACGGGAGUUGGCCAUUUUUUUAUUUUCUUUUAGCUUCUUCGUUCUCUUUCUCGUAACGUCUGAAUUCCAUCAGGGACCGUUUGAGGGUUUUGGGAGUGCCAGGGCUUGUGGGAAGUCUCCAUCACGACCAUGCGAUCACGGUUCGCUGUCAUGGGGCCAUAAGUGGGAUGGAAACUGGGCCUCCUCCACUGUAACCCGGAAAGGAUAGAAUGGAUUUUUCUCCUUUAUUUAAAGCAGAAAUUAUUCUAAAUUUCUAAUGCCGGUUGACAUUUUGUGAUGCCUUUAUUUAUUUUACCUUCUUAUGAAGUAUUUAAGUUGAAAAAUGGUUAGGUUACGUUUGGAUUCUGCAAAUAACUUAUAGAUGCACCGUCGCAAAAUUGGUUGUCUGGUCCACUUGAUGGUCCUCUAGAUUAAAAUUAAUAAUAAUAAUAAUAAAAUGGUUGUCUGGUCAUGUUCAAUCUAUUAGAUAUUUAGAUGGUCCAUUAGAUCAGCUUGCAUUGCAGCUCUAGAAUGCAGCCAGCUCUUUUACGUAAUGAAGUAAACUUUAUCUUAAAAAAAUAUUGGCCAUCCAUUUUGUAGCUCUUCUAGUUCACAUCUCUGACCCUUCAGAGAAACUGCUACCUCACCCUCUCAAAGCACAUAAUGUUGCUCUGGUACAUGCCAAUUUUAAUAAGCUGCAAUUGAUUUGUGCAUCACAACAGCUUCCUCCCGAGAUCAUAUUUACUUUUGAGUUGAGUCAGCUACUAGCUGAGUGCUACACUCCCAUGGGAUCAAUAGCUACUUUCUAUGUGCUUAGCUAUCUUUCUCCAUUGCAAUCUUGCAGCAUCCUAUAUAGGUCUUUCUUUUUCAAUAUAAUUCGUUUCGCAAUGGAGUCGAUUUAGGCCUUUACAUGUUGCAUGUCAAACAUAUUAAUAAGAAGGAAUCCAGCAUUCGACAAAAAUAAAAUGAAAUUAAGCUUUACUAGCUGACAACCUGCCAUGAUUUCUAUUAACUAUAGAUGAAAGUGGAUUAGCUAUUGCUAGCUAACAAAAAUAAUAAUUUUAUUAACUAUUAAACUCUGAAUUAUCCAACCUGCCAUGAGGUGGAUUGUCAAUAUCUUAAGAUGCAUAUUGUCAUGUUCAAAAUGGCUACCAAGCAUCUGAAGGAAUAGGUUUUAGAGCAUGUGCAGUUAGUGAGAACUCAUACCGAAGGUGUUCAAAAUGACAUUAUCCAACCACUUCCAACUUAGAUAGCAUACCGCAUUUGAUGCUACCGCCGAUAAUUAAAAUUAAAACUCCUAUGUUUGUCGUCAGCUUAAUGAGAGAAAAAAAUGAAGCUAACUAGAUGACCCAAUGAUGAGGAAAUCUCGUUCUCAUUUUCAUCAUACUCAAAAGCAUCCAUUGGAGCAGCUGCUCAAUAUCGAAAGCACGCAAUAGAAAAUUUGCUAACUAGUGAUUGCAGUCAUCUUUCUCCGUUGACAAUGGAGAGUGGCUCAGAUGAGAUGGGAACUGCAAGGUUAGAUAAAAGUCCAAGAAAGUUUGGGAGGCAUUUGAAACAUAUAAAUUUUUUAAAUACAAAUAUUGUAAUGCUUGUAAUGUGAACAACGUAUCAUCGUAGUGGCCGUGCUCCUUAAUCUAAUACCUGAAGAUUUUAGAUUUAAUUCUCUAUGGUGCACCACAGAGCAUCUCAACCUAACUAAUUAUAAUAUUGGAUGGGUCUCCCUUUUCCUCUCUUAAAAAAAUUAUAACGGAAUGCGACAUAUUCCAGCAACUAUAGAUUUACAUAGAGAUAAGAUAGAGAGAGUUGAUGACAGAUAAUAUCAUCAACAACAAAACAUUCUCCUACGAAGGAAAGAGAAAUCACUAAGAAACAUUUUGUAGUUGAGUUGUAAGUAUUUCAUGUAAAUAAAUCGCGAGAGUUUUGAAUCAGUGAAUGAUCCGUGAACAUUGUGGAAAGAUAAUUAAUUUGUAAAAAAAGUAAUAUAGACAGAUAAAUAUAUUUCAAGAAUUAUGCGAUAAGGCAAUUUUUUUUCCAACUUCGAGUGAAAAUUAAUUGAUCUCGGUAUAUACCAAUUUUCUAUAGCUUUUCAUGUCCGUUUGACUUACACAGCAGAAAAUGCAUUGAAAAAUCAUAGGAUGGAGGUUUGUUGCUACUGAGGACUGGCCUGCCCUAGGAAUCGAGCAAAAGAGAUACUGGAGGACUCGGUGGUGAGCUGUUUGGUCCGUGCAAGGCUGUAACUCGGAGUGGAUGGUUGUAUCCAUGGUCCUAGUCCAUGACUGAGCUCCGACCUGAAAUAGCAAAAAUGAAGAAGUCUUCUUGCAAGAGUGUGUCCAACGGCGGACCCUCCGAUGCCAAGUCAGGAUGAUACUUAGGAAACAAAAGAUGUUCUCAAUGGUCUGUCAAAGCACCCAAGCACUUACCUGUAAAGUUUUCUGAAGAGUGGAUUGUAUAGGCGCAUAUGAGCACCUGUUACCCUAAAAUUCAAGCAUGUGAGUCAGUUAAGAUCGGCAAACCUUUGUACGUUCCGAGAAUCAGGCACGGGUGUUUCGUAUGUGGAUUCCAUCCUGUCCUUUUGGCUGGUGUGAUUUCAGAGGCCGCUCGAGAUUUCAAUCGAAGGUGUCGCCAACUGGAGCGAGUUUUUGAAAUUCAAAAUCAACCACGCGCUUCUAGGCUUGCCACAUAAUGGGUUUUAGUUGGUAAUUCAGAGGCUUCGUGGCAGAAUUUGAUUGGCCGGCCCUUUGUACAAGUUGUGGUCGGUUCUGAGAUAUAUCGGGGUCCAAUCCCUAACAUGACAUGCCACAAAAUCAGAUUGUAACACUAAUAUAGACAACAAGUAUCUACCACCCAAGCUACAAGUUAAGUUAGGUCAAGACUUGGGACUCUGAAUCCUACUAAGACCAAAAAGGAGGUAAACAUUUCAGAGCUCAGAAUUCUUCACUUGUUCCAAAAGAGAAGUAGGACCUCCACCCUCUCCCACGCGUAAAUAUUGAGUUCAUGGGUCCUUCAGGCGAGCAUCAAGACCAUUGACGUGUUGCUUGUCUCGAACCACCGCAGCUUAGAGAAAUCCAUGGUCCAUUAGAACCCAAUGAACCAUGUAAUCCGGAGAGCUUUCUCUUGAAUACAUUACAUGCAAUGGUCCCAAUGGAUGAUUAAAUUAUAUGUGCACAUACUUAAAACAAUAUUUUUAUCUUGGGCCAUUGAUAAAUAUCCUGCCGGCAUUUAGCCGUUCAUUGCAAAGUAAGGAAGCAUGUAGCAAGAUUCCAAAAGUGCUUGUAAGGUCCAAUCGCACCAUUGACUUGGAGCUAUUACUUAUUAGCAAGUAGUUCAGGGCAGAGAAAAAUAAAGCCCUUCUCUGUUUCUCUGUUUUCUUUCAUCCUGCGCAAGUUUCGGCCAAAAACAGUACCUUGGAUACCGUAAUUCAUGCAGCGGAAAACUGGCGAACCGGUCACCGAGUUGUGGUCUGAGAACAUUAUUUACUACCUCUCUCAAAGCUCCGUUGAACUGAUGGAACAAAAAUCAUAGCAGGUGGACUUUCUAUUUCACCGUUUUUUUUCUGCUGCCGAUCUUUAAAUAAGCAAUCUAAAGAUCAAAAGCUUUUUUUAUUAAUAGAGUUUCUAACUUUGUGAUUAAAAAAAAACUGGAAUCUUCUUUCUUCCUUAUUUUUAACAUAUAUAUUUUAUCAGUACAAUAACAAGGACCGGAUGAUGUACGAUAAAUAAAUGAACCAUCUAAAAAGUCAGCACACAUCUCUAAAUAUAUCGAUACAUAGUUUUCAAACUAUAAUGCUCACUAUAUACAAUACACGACCAGAUAAUACAUACUUAACAAAUUAGUCAUCCAAUAAUCCAAUACAUCUCUCCAAACAAAUUGAUACAUAGUGUCUUAAAUAUCAUAUUCAUCAGUAUACACUACAUGGUAGGAUGAUACACAUUUAUCGACUUUCUGAUAUAUAUUAUAAGUAUGUUUAAUAUACACCCGGCAAUGAUCCAAUAUACAACUCAAGAUAAAUUGAUAUACAGUUUACAGAAUAUGGUGUUCAUCAGUAGCAAAUAUCGAAAAAAAGAGUGAUUUGAAGGAGGAUAAAGAGACUCGGAAUGGAGAAGGAAAACCUUGCAAACAGAAAAGAUGGCUUGAUAAGAAAAAUAAUGAAUAGAGAGACUUGAUUAAGAAGCAAGAGGAUGUCGCGAGCAAUUUUCUUUCUUCGUUUGUUCUUUGUUUCUUUAAUCAUGGAACUGGUGACUUUACUAGUAAGAAAAGUUCCUAAUCUUUGGAUUUCUUCUUUAAGAUGGGCAUUAGAAAAAACGUGACAAAAUAGAAAGCUUGUCCCAUAUUCCUUUCUCUGGUGCCUACCCUAUAUAAAUUUUGUUCAAACUGGUGGGGACUCCUUUUUUGAGUUAUAAAAACCCUGCUAAUCUUCCUUGAUCAAUGAAUUAGGGUUUAUCCAAAUGGUUGUAACUCCUAGUUUAAUUACUUAGCCCCAGGUAUUCUAUUAAAAAAAAUCUAUUUAAAUCUAGAUAUUUAUACUCCCUCACUUUCUUUGUAAAAGUACUUGUCCAUCUUUUGUCGAUAUACAAGAAAUUAAAAUACAUUUCAACAGAGUGCACAGAUAUGAAAGAUAUAUCGUUGAACAGCAUAGUUUUGUGAGGCUGUUGCUCAAAAAUUUAUAAGGCUAUUUGGGAUGUAAUAGAAAUAUUCAUUUCCUUUUUCUUAACAUUUUGAUUCUCUACAUCGAAAUAUCUUUUGUGAUAUUUUAUACUGAAUUGGUUUUGUUCUCCUCGAGACCAAUUCUAAGAUCUGGAGUAAGAUACAUAUGUCUAGGUUUAUAAGCUUAUUUGGAGCAUUGUAAACUACACCCUUAAUGAGCGAAGAAAUCCCUCAAACCAGUUGAUUACUCACAAGAUAUAUUUCCUAUAUACAUGUGGUAGUUCCAAUAUAUAGACAAGCCUAAAUCAUAAAAAAAUGAUCUAUAAGAUUGAAUUAAAAAGGAUCAUAAUUCACUGAAAAAAAGGAUCAUAAUCCAAGGUUAAACUCCAAAAGCCAAAACCUCGAGAAAUAUUCCUACAAGUAGAUUACACUAAAACUUUGACAACAUGAGGUAUUGGAACUACCAAUGACCACAAAUAUGCACAACAUGCAACUGACUUAUUACAAAGGAAAAUAUAUUAAUUUGCCAAAUUUGUAACCAUCAACCGCGGAAUUGUAAACGAAGUGCAUCUUACCCACUUACACAUAUUUAACUAAUUUCUUAUUUUUUUUUUGAUAUAACGGUAACUCACACCAUACGUACAGGAGUACACCCAUAAAAGUUAAAAAGAAGAAUUCGAUUGAGAGGGGAAGAAGUAGACUCGAGAUUCUUCCAAUAGAACUCUUCUGAAUAGUGUGCAGCAAAGGAGGCAACCUAGUUAGUAGUAUUGUUCGCCUUCCGAUAAACAUGAGUGGCUCGAAAAGCUACGGACCUUUCUAUGAGCUCACAUAUAUCCUAUAGUAGCGGAUGUCUGUCAACACUUUUCUGAGUCGAUCACUGUCGCAACAUCACCUUCAAGAUGGAUACAAUCCGCUCUCACAAUUAUAAUACCCUUCAAUGCAGCUUUCAACUCUGCACCACUGACAGACUCAUCAAAAAUAUGCCAUUCUCCUACUGCAAUAAGUCGAAAAUCAUGAUCUUUAAUCACAUAGUCCACUUCAUCUCGGCCUCCCUUCUUAAAGAUACUGCUGUCAAAAUUUUCGUGGAUUAUAGACGGUUGAUUUGUAGGAGAGUCGGCCAAUCCACCGACAUCAACAGUCUCAUAAAAUAAGCGAGGCUGCCUGGCCGUACAUACAGCCAAUCAUAGCCGCUAAUUCAUAGAGAUAUAUGUUCGAUGAAUGGGCCGUGCGCGGAAGCAAUAAUUUCUCGUCUGGUAUUGGAUAUCCAUCUAAGGCUUGAUUUAUGAUUGUCUUUAUUUUUAUGGUAAGGAAACAUAGAUAAAUAAUGAUAGCAGAAAUAUACCAUAAAUGUGCAUAUUAAUUAUGUUGUCUUGAGUCUCACGUUCCCCCUCUCUCCUCAUACGGUGAGAAAGGAAAGGAAAAGGAAAUGGUCAGCCAUUAGGUAGAAAAGGAAGCACCAUCUUUUAUAGAGAAAGAAUAAAAGAAAAAAAAGGAGGGGGCGAUAGGGAGAGAUCAAAACAUAAAGCCGCGGAGAGAGAUGUUACAGAGACAAAAUCACGGAGCAAGAGCCAGAGAUCGCGAAUCUUCUUUUCCGGCCCCUUUAUUUUUAGCCCCAAGAACUGCUCGUUCCUCGCAAUAAAUUUUUCCCCUGAGCUCCGACUCCUCCUCCUCCUCCUCCUCCUCCUCCUCUUCUUCUUCUUCUUACAAUCUCUCUCACUACGACCUGGCGGAACAAACGAUUCUCUUCUUGGGUUCGGGUUUCCGGCUCCCAUUUUUGGAUCUUUCUCUGCGUUGAGUUCCUCGUAUCCGACCAAUCUGCCGUCGUAGAAUUUUGGAGGGUUUCUUGGUCGGAUUUGGGCUCCGAUUGAUGGAAUCAUCCGGCGGGAGCUCCGAUCCUUACAGGAGCCAGAGCGCCGGCAGCGGUGGGGGCAGCGGAGGUUCUUCGAGGCGGUAUGGAGUUCACUUCUCGGCCUCCAAUUUCAUCCAGGCGCCGCUGUCCGCGCUUUUGGAGUAUUCUGGGAUUUUACGGCCGAGAUCGAGUCACCACGAGAACGAGAGCUUGAUCAGUGGAGCGAUCGGCAGUGGCUUGCGAGACCGUGUUUCCGGCCGGCUUGAUGAUCCUGCUGUCGCAGGCACUGGCGGCGAUGGUGAGGUCUCGAUAAGGAUCAUUGGCGUCGGGGAUCAGGAGACUUUGAGGGCGGGUUCCGGCCAGCCGCAAGCACUGGCUGUCGGUCCGGGUAGAGAGGGGAAUUCCAGUGGUAAUGGUGUUAGUUCUGAGACAAUUCCGACUGUCUCUGAGAGGCAGGGAGGUGAUGGUGGGGUUGGAGAGGUGACUUCGUCAUCGUCCUCUUCUCUUCCAUCAUCAAUCUCUGCGGCUGGUCCUCAGAGCACGGAAGGUGAGGCGAACGUUACAGGAGGUAGCAACAGGGAUUCUUCGUACCAAAGAUACGACAUGCAGCAGAUUGCAAGAUGGAUUGAGCAGAUUUUGCCAUUCUCGUUGCUUCUGUUGGUGGUGUUCAUCAGACAGCAUUUUCAGGGUAUAUGUUUCUUAAUCUUUGCUUUUAAUUCAGAAGCAGCUUUUCAGUUAUAUUUACACAAAAAAGAUCUCUGGGAUAUGUUGCACGAAGAUUGUAGUUUUUGAUGUCAUAGUGGUGCUAAAUUUGCAUAAUCUUAGGAGUUCGUUCACUAAAUGUAUAAACUCUUAUGUCCCCCCAAGCAUGCAUUAUCAUCACUAUAAAGUUGUCGAUACAUGCACUGCUUAUGAUCUCAACAAAUUAUGAUGGUAUGCUCUUGAACUUCUGGGAAAAUUCUCCAGGAUUAUUGGACUGGGUAAUUUUGGGUUCAUGGUGGAAUUGCUUAAAAACUACUGGGCUUUGUCAAAUUUAUAUAGCUGGUUAUUAGCGAUGCUUGAUAUGAGAUAAGGGGUGACUUGUCACUGAAAGCUUUUCUCCCUUAUCUUCUCACACAUCUGCUGCUUCUCCACUUCCUGGUCUCAAAUUCUCUUCUGCGGCUGCUCCUGUUUAGAACUACUAAGAUUUUGACACAACUUUGAAAUGGUAAAACUGUUUUACUAUUCUUUUAUAUAUUUGUUCAAAUCAACAUUUUUUUGAACAAAUAGUCUGUUUUACAAUUAAGACGGGAUGUUUAAUAUUGUUUAACUCUGAGUUGUCUGUAGCCUUUUAUUAUUCCUUGGAUGCUAUAAUAUGCACUUUUUUAUAUAUGCGUGGAUGUUUGUGAGCUACAAUAAAGGGACGACCAUCUCUUUCUUAAUCCUGCUUUACUUAUACUAUAGUGGUUACUGUGCGUGAAAAUUUGGAUAUCUUUUCACUUCCAAAUCAUCAUAUGAUGGUGAUAUGCAUGUAAUUUUAAUUCUUUUUUUUCCUGUUCCUAUUUUUAAAUUUAUAACCUUCACCAGCGGACCUACAGGUUUCUUGGUCACGAUUUGGAUUGCUGUUGUGAUGUUCAAGUCUAAUGAUAUAUUACGGAAACAGACUGCUCUAAAGGUUUGUUAACUUUGAUGUUAAAUUUCCUUUUCCAGUUAAAGAUAUGUACCAAUUCCACUCCUCUGCAACUUUAUAAAUGCCAUUCUAUUAUUUUUCUGAGUGUGCUUGUAUAAACUUUAACAGUUUAUCUAGAGGAAUAUCCGAUUUGUUUUCUGGUUAAACCAAAUUUUCUUUUUCUAGAAAAACCAAAACAAAGCAAUGUAAGAUCUCCGUCCCCUUUGCUCUCUCCUCUCUUUGCAAUGAUAUCAUAAAUUAUUGGGCAUAGCAAAAUGUUUCUCUGGUAUUAUACUCUCACCCUUCUCCUGAAGCCAUAUGGCCACCCUAUAAGCAUGAAAACUAGUUCUCGUGCAUCAUUACUUUUGGAAUAUUUUCAUACCAUGAAGAUCGUUUUUUAGGCAAUUAACCAGUGAGGUCCUGGGUUUUGUAGGAAGCUCUUGUAUUUUGAAUCAGUAUUCAAACCCCUUUGGGCUGCCAUUUAUUUGGCUCUUCGGCUAAUUUGUGCCUUUGAAACGAACACAGCUUUUUAUAUUAAAAGUUGUCUUCUCCUUUCAUACAAGUCAUUCUUUUGCCUAAAGUUUCUCUGGCCCAAAAUGUGGCACCAAUUUCUAGAGUGUUCGUGUCAGUAGUUAACUGGUUUUAUAACCUGUUCAAUCUAUGGAGCCUUUCCAUCUCUCAGUCAUGCUUUGUAGUUGAUCCCAUAUUUAAUGGGAAAAGGCUUUGGUACUGGUGGCGAUGAUGAUAUUUAAACCCCAUGUCAUAGGCAAGGCUAAGAAGUUAAGAAAAAUGUAAAGAAAGAAAUUCACUACCGUAUCUGUUUAUAUCUCAUAUUCCUUGGUAAAGGAAGGUUGGGAAAUGUUGGUAUGAUGAACAUAGCUUACAAUCCUCAAAUUUCACGCCUAUUAUGCUAAACUAAGUUUCUAUGAAGUAUAUGAAGGCAAGGGACAGUAUCAGGUAUUAAAAUGAGAGAACAGUUCUGGACAUUUUAGGAAGCACAAACCCCUAUUAAGGUUUAAUCUGUAGGUUUAAUCUUGCAGGUUAAUUUCUUUUUGUUUCUGAACAAGCUUAUCAUCAACUAGUUUCAACUGGAGAAAGAAAUAAGCAGUGGCUUGAGAAUGAUGUCAGUGGAGUUAUGGUAACAGUAGCUAUGGAUGAGCUGGUCUGGGAGUGUAAACCCAAGGAUAUGGUACUCAGCAAUGCUGAAGAAUUGCCUCUCUAGGCUCGGGAAAGGGUUGGAGGGACUUUUUGAAAGGAAUACAGCUAUGGCCAUUUCUAAAUCCUUCUAGGAUCCUCAAUUAUUCUCCAUGGAUCACACAAGGAACCAUUCCUCUAGUCAUUGACACUUUUGAAUCUAACUGCUGUAUGUUCUACUUCACCCAACUAUUUACCAAAUGUUUACAGCCAUUGUUGUACAGAAGACCGAGUCACGCCCCUUGGUCUUUGGCUUGUAUUCUAAUCAAGGUUCGCCUUCUUAGUAUCAUACCCCAUAUCGGUGCCACACUAGUACUAUAUUGGUACGGUACAAAAUAUUUUCGGUGCACCAAAUGCCGGUAUGCCUUCCGUACCGAGUACCGGUACCGAACUGGUAUGGUACGGUACGCUCCGUGCCGUCCGGUUUGGGCUAGUAUAGCGAACCAUGAUUCCAAUGCUUCUCACUUCCUUAUUACGACUCAAGGCUGAUGCUUUUAGAAAUCACUUAAAUGCAUUAUGACUGGAAAGGAUUACGGGGUUACUGUGUCUCUGUUGUGUAGGCUUUUGUCAGAUGGUGUAGUGCAUGUUUUUGGUGACAUUGACAUAUCUCUAUUUUUUUUCCUUGCUUGGACCCAGCUACUACUUGUUUCUGGAUAACGCACUAAUGAAAUUAUGCUAAAUGAAUUAUCCUAUGUAAUGAGAUGUCACAUUAUUAUUGUUUGUUGCUUUCUGCAGGGAGAGAGGAAAAUCUCUGUGCUUGUUGGGAUUACAUUAGUUUUCGUGAUUCAUGUGUUUGGAGUCUAUUGGUGGUACAGGAAUGAUGACAUUCUGUACCCAUUGGUCAUGCUUCCUCCAAAGGAAAUACCACCUUUUUGGCACGCAAUUUUCAUCAUUAUGGUGAACGGUAUGUACUUUAAUGUUAUAUAUGACUAUUUACAUGCUUUGAUAGUUUUGAUUUCUGAAAAUAUUUCAUGAAUAAAAUUGGCUCGAAAAAAUUGAGUUUACAUUUAGAUAUUGCCCUGCGGAUUUUAGUUGCUUCCAAGUUAAAUCAUCUAUUCAUUGAAAUGAUCAACUGAUCCUUUCAAGAUAGAUCAGGUAUACCUGAUCUGAAUCCAAUUCUGUUGAAGGCUGAGCCUUCAUCCAUUCUAACUAGGAUUUCACCGAUCCAGUCUGGAUUAGAUGAUUCCUGUUUUGAAACAGCAAGUUUUAAACACUGGCCUUUGUUUGGCAGAGAUAUGCUAUCUAUUCAUUGUAAACAUUAUUUGAACCGAACACACAAGAAUUAUAUCAUUUUAUAUCAAAACUUCUUUCUAAAGUUUGUUGCUUUCUUGUCAGUCUCACAAUUUAAGAUUACUAUUUUAGGAUCAAGUAGUUUAUAACUGCACCUAUUAGUGGUUUAGUUACAUUCAUGUGAUUCCUUGUUUGUUGCAACUUCCCAGAUACUAUGGUGCGCCAGGCAGCUAUGGUUGUUAAGUGUGUGCUGCUCAUGUACUACAAAAACAGCAGGGGCCGUAACUAUCGUAAGCAGGUAAUCUUGUUAUUCUUAUGUCUCUAAUUAUACUUAUUUAAAUGUCUCUAGGAUUGUUUGAAGCAGUUUCUUAUGAGAUUUAGAUGGUGAACUUGAAAUUUAAGUAGUGGCAAUUUUGAGUAGUUAUUAGAUGGAAUCAUGGAGCAAAUAAGAACUGUUAUACUUUGCUUGCAUGGACACCAGAAUGGACUUUUAUGAACUUUUCAUUUAAUUUGAGGGCAAUAAAUGUAGUUAGAAUUGCAGGAGGCUGUCAUAUUUCAACCAUUUAGCCAAUAUUUGUACAAUAAGUUUAUAUCGUGUGGUUUCUUCAAGGAACUAAGAGGAUUGGUCCAGCUGGUCAGCUUGGUCUGGUUUGGCAUCUGGGGUCAGAUAUGUUGGUGUGUUGGUUAUGGAAAGGUAACUAGAGUUGAGGUUGUUGAGUGGUAUUGGUGUUUCCAUAUCCGAAGGUUUGGAAGGGUUUUAACAAGGGUUGCUAUAACUUGGUUGGGUUGUAAUGUUUAGUAUAUAUAGAGUAGAAAUGGCUGCGACUUUGUGAUUGAUUCUUGGACUAUAUUAGUUUAGGAGGCAGUCUUGAAAGGUGGUAAUGGUAAACCUUGAUGAAUUGGAAGCUCAUUAGGUGAUAACUAGUGGAGCCAACCUCUUAUUCUUACCAUAACAAAAAUAUUAAGCUGAGUAUCUGCAGCCACAGGGAUAGGAAAAUUUGAGUAACAGUAAUUAGUAUAUCUCAAUGAAAAGGGAAACAAGCUCAUGCCUUGUGUGAGGUAAUAAUUGCAUACUUCUGCCGACCUUGUAUUACAGUUUCCAGUGUGGACUGGCUCGUCCUCAUGUUAAAAAAUAUUUACGAAGCUCGUUGUCAUCCACAUGUGGAAUUUGUUCUGACUGUUAUUCUCCUUCAUGAGUAUAAGAAACACAUUGAAACAUCUUAUUUAGAAAAUCUUUGUUGUUAUUGCUUGUGAAAUGUUAAAUAUUUACUCUUUCCCUUCAACAGCUUCAAGAAAUGUAUUGGGGAUUUAUUUUCUGCAAAUAUACAGCACAUUUAUUUAGAUAUCUGGAGUGGGUUAAGUCCAUAAUACAGAGCAUCUAUUCCAUGGAUGCUUCAUGUAUAUUAUCCAAUUAGGCUCCCUGCAGUAGCUGGUUCUAAGAAUAUAGUUUGCAAUUUUUUGAUGUUCAGAUUAUAGAUGUUGUUUACUUGCAAAAGUACUUGAUUAUGCAUCAACGAAUACUCAUCAUGAUAGGCACAUGCAAGAAUAUUGAGAAAAAGUCAUUUUGUUUGGGUGGGAAUUGAUAGAAGUAUUCCCUUUUACCAAGACUCAAUCAUGUUGGAAAAGUGUGGCCUUUUAUCAUUUACCAACUUUCAGAUGACAUACUAUUAAAGGUAGGCAUGCUAGACACUCCCACCUGUUAUAUGGUUAUCUUUACUCUCUAAAACAUCAAAAUAAAAGAAAAGAUUGCUUGGAUCUGUGUAUUUCACAUAAUAAUUUUUGAGUGUAGUCCACAAAAAAAGGGACUCUUUGUGGUCUUGCUUACUCAACAGUCAAUUAUUGAUCCAUUGGCAAGUUGUUAUUUGCAUCUAAGAAAGUAAGAAAACUGAAACAGGCGUGCCAAGAUGCGUUAUUUCAAAAUCUUUAAUAAGUUACCACAACCACUUUAGAUAAACAAGAUAAUAAUAACUGUCUCUAUCAUCCUUUAUGCCGUUGACUUUUUUUUAUUUGAAUAAAAUUGUCCCCGGUAAGGAAAAAUGCAGACCACAGGUAUAAUUCCUAAUGAAAGGAUUAAUAGCCUUCAUGUUUACUAUAAUACAUGAACAACAGGGCUCAGCUUGUUAUAUUUUUGUUGUUUCCAAUAUUCUGAAUCCUUUUUUAUCUAAUCGGAAUUUUUCUUAUCUCAAUGACAUGGUCUGAGCUUAAUACUGUUUUCUGCCAGUCUGAUAUCUAGAUAGAGGCUUGUCAAUGACCAUGGCAUAGGAAACCCUGUAAAUUGUGAUUUUUCUGCCUUUUUUUUAUCUAAUUGGAAUUUUUAUUUUACUGAAAGCUCGAUUUGAAUAUAAUUUGGAUUCGUUUUUGAAAAUUUUUAACAGUUGAUGGUAAGCAAAUUUAUUGGGUUUCUUCAAAAAAAUUUCAGGGUCAGAUGCUCACAGUUGUGGAGUAUCUAUUGCUUUUGUACCGUGCUUUGUUGCCAACUCCAGUUUGGUACCGAUUCUUUCUAAACAAAGAAUAUGGUAGCCUCUUUUCAUCUCUUACCACAGGGCUCUAUCUUACAUUCAAGCUGACAUCAGUUGUUGAGAAGGUAUAUUUUUUUUCUGGUUUUUAUUCUUUUCUGUUGAAAUUUAAAGAUCUUUUUCUACUUCUCCAAACUUUUGAACCAAGUUUCCAGGAUGACGCCAUGGUUUCACCUUCAUAGCCAGUAAAGAAAUGAGGAGGGAAUUUCUUUUUACAUUCAUUUAGGCUGUGAUUUUGCAGGUUCAGUCAUUCUUUGCGGCACUGAAGGCAUUGUCACGCAAAGAAGUGCAUUAUGGGUCUUAUGCAACAACAGAACAGGUAAACUGUUGAAUUUGCUUGUACUCUACCUUGGAAAACCUUUUCAUUUUUCAGAGUUUUUGGAACAGAGUUUCCACUCUGGUCUACACUAUUUUAGUUGUCCCAUCAUCUAAACAGCUGGAAAAUUCAACUUUUUCAAAAACAUCAGUUCCCCAAAACCUUUCCUAAGCAACCAAACAUACCCUAAGAGCAACAUUGAGUUAAGGAUAUGCUAAUCCAUUUCCUUAGCUUUCAAUCAUGUUUUCAUUGUCUUGUAUCUCAUACUACUCGGACCAGUUUAUCUUGAGUCUGAGCCCCUCUCUCAUCAAGCUUCCUCUUCUUGUUGUUGCAAACGAAAACCUUACCUGAAAUUAUACUGUCAUUUUGUCCUCUUGUCAAUGCAACUGAAAGCAUAUUUAGGUGCACUCUUUUCAGUUUUAUCCUUUGUCUUACCACAUCUACCCCAACAUGAUCUUCCUAUGCUCAAUGAGCAUGCCUGUGUCCUUUCUAUAUAGCCCAAUGAUGCAAUACUUUGAAGUAUCAUCAAAUGUUGAUUGAAAAAAAAAACAGCUUCAGUUAUCUAUGUAACUCAAAAGGUGAUUUCCCCCUUCAGAGUUUGCAACUAUGUCCUGCUAUAGAUGAAAAGAAAACAUAGAACAUAAAUGUUGAUUAAAACAAACUACCCACAGCUGUCGGCCAUCAUACUCACGCCUUUUCCAUUCUACAUGUCCUUGGAGUUUUCUUACCCAUGCAAAUCCAAAGGUUGCAAACAUGCUCUUAAAGCAUUUAUUCUCUUGUUGGCAUUUCCGGAUCUCAUUUUUGGUUAUUGUAUUGUUGCUUAUUUUUUCUCCUAGAAAUAUCAUGUUAUUUUAGAUUAAUAAAUCAAAGUGUUUAAUAUGUUCCGGGAUUUCUAUUGAAAACCUAUGCAAUGCAUUAAGGGAUGUCAAGGAAUUUUUACUGUCUUUUAAAAGUGAGCUGUGGUGUCUUCAAAGGUGAACAUGCUAGGCCCUUAACUCAUGUUUGAGCAACUCACUUUCCCAGAGAAGUUAGGGGUACAAUGGUUAUUUGCCACCUACGAAGAGCAAACACUGUUAAUACUUCUCAAAUCAAGAGGAUAGGUCUCAUUUAACUCAUGCACACAGUAAUAAGUGGACUGCAAAUGCCUGCCAUUCUUUUAUCUAAAGUAUUUUAUGCAUGGAUUGAGGUAGUUUGUGCUAGUCCCUCGCCGAACUAGAAUGGAAUCAUGCAUACCACGCUAUGUCAUGCCAUGUUGCGCCGGUACUUGGCAUCGUACCUAGCUUGCUGUCCGUAUGCUUCGAUGAACAGUCUAAUCCAUCAUACUAGGUAGCAAGUGCUUGUUUAGUUUGUCUGUCUGGAGGACAUGGUAAGAUUGAAGAGGUUUGUAUUACUGCCCCUGCAUACCUGUCAUGUUCAUAACUUUGCUACUCAUUACUCUUGAAUAUCAUGAAAAGCAUCGAAAUGAAGAAAUGGAUGACCAGUGAACUCUUGCUGCAAAGAUGGCCUGAAAACAUUGUGAAUGUUAGAGAUUAGUUUUGUUUUUUGAUAGAGAUCUGCCAAUUGAGAGUUUGGAAAAAAGGAAUUUUCAUACUUGAGAUCAUAUUUGUGUUGUUAUCGACUGGAACUUCAGAAUAAUCAUAAUCAUUGAGCCAAUCAUAAAAAAAUGUAAAAACUUAUGAAAUGAAUCAAAAUCUAAAAUUCAGAUUUCAUUAAAUUUUAUCACUGAUUAAGGAGUUAUAGCCUCUCUGUACCUUGGCUGGCAAAACCCUGAGCUGCAGCUUAGCUGUUCUUGCUGUUGAGGAGGAUUAAUUAUUAUUGUUGUUGUCGAUGCUGAUGUUGUCUUGGAUGUUUUUAGGGGGUUGAGGGACUUCUGGGUUUGAACUUGAGAACUAGCGAUAUGCAUUAACAUGUGAUGAAAUUAAUGCAGGUUGUUGCAGCCGGUGAUCUGUGUGCUAUCUGCCAGGAGAAGAUGCAUGCUCCCAUUCUGCUUCGCUGUAAACACAUAUUCUGUGAAGAUUGUGUUUCUGAAUGGUAGCAUACCUGAGCUCUACCAUUUCCUUUCUGCUUUGUCCAAUUCUCUCUCUCUCUCUNNNNNNNNNNNNNNNNNNNNNNNNNNNNNNNNNNNNNNNNNNNNNNNNNNNNNNNNNNNNNNNNNNNNNNNNNNNNNNNNNNNNNNNNNNNNNNNNNNNNNNNNNNNNNNNNNNNNNNNNNNNNNNNNNNNNNNNNNNNNNNNNNNNNNNNNNNNNNNNNNNNNNNNNNNNNNNNNNNNNNNNNNNNNNNNNNNNNNNNNNNNNNNNNNNNNNNNNNNNNNNNNNNNNNNNNNNNNNNNNNNNNNNNNNNNNNNNNNNNNNNNNNNNNNNNNNNNNNNNNNNNNNNNNNNNNNNNNNNNNNNNNNNNNNNNNNNNNNNNNNNNNNNNNNNNNNNNNNNNNNNNNNNNNNNNNNNNNNNNNNNNNNNNNNNNNNNNNNNNNNNNNNNNNNNNNNNNNNNNNNNNNNNNNNNNNNNNNNNNNNNNNNNNNNNNNNNNNNNNNNNNNNNNNNNNNNNNNNNNNNNNNNNNNNNNNNNNNNNNNNNNNNNNNNNNNNNNNNNNNNNNNNNNNNNNNNNNNNNNNNNNNNNNNNNNNNNNNNNNNNNNNNNNNNNNNNNNNNNNNNNNNNNNNNNNNNNNNNNNNNNNNNNNNNNNNNNNNNNNNNNNNNNNNNNNNNNNNNNNNNNNNNNNNNNNNNNNNNNNNNNNNNNNNNNNNNNNNNNNNNNNNNNNNNNNNNNNNNNNNNNNNNNNNNNNNNNNNNNNNNNNNNNNNNNNNNNNNNNNNNNNNNNNNNNNNNNNNNNNNNNNNNNNNNNNNNNNNNNNNNNNNNNNNNNNNNNNNNNNNNNNNNNNNNNNNNNNNNNNNNNNNNNNNNNNNNNNNNNNNNNNNNNNNNNNNNNNNNNNNNNNNNNNNNNNNNNNNNNNNNNNNNNNNNNNNNNNNNNNNNNNNNNNNNNNNNNNNNNNNNNNNNNNNNNNNNNNNNNNNNNNNNNNNNNNNNNNNNNNNNNNNNNNNNNNNNNNNNNNNNNNNNNNNNNNNNNNNNNNNNNNNNNNNNNNNNNNNNNNNNNNNNNNNNNNNNNNNNNNNNNNNNNNNNNNNNNNNNNNNNNNNNNNNNNNNNNNNNNNNNNNNNNNNNNNNNNNNNNNNNNNNNNNNNNNNNNNNNNNNNNNNNNNNNNNNNNNNNNNNNNNNNNNNNNNNNNNNNNNNNNNNNNNNNNNNNNNNNNNNNNNNNNNNNNNNNNNNNNNNNNNNNNNNNNNNNNNNNNNNNNNNNNNNNNNNNNNNNNNNNNNNNNNNNNNNNNNNNNNNNNNNNNNNNNNNNNNNNNNNNNNNNNNNNNNNNNNNNNNNNNNNNNNNNNNNNNNNNNNNNNNNNNNNNNNNNNNNNNNNNNNNNNNNNNNNNNNNNNNNNNNNNNNNNNNNNNNNNNNNNNNNNNNNNNNNNNNNNNNNNNNNNNNNNNNNNNNNNNNNNNNNNNNNNNNNNNNNNNNNNNNNGGGCAGCCGAGAGUUCGACUAGUACGAUAAUGCUGGUACGAUUAUGAAGUGGGAUGCUGCCAACCGACAAGAUUCUCCCAUGACUACUAUCUCUAGAAAAUCUGGUUCCAACUGUAGCAGGUUCAACUAAACUGUCAAAACUGAUUUUAAUCUCUCCUGUAGUGGGUUACAAACAAUAAAGGGAAGGUGCCAGGGGGUUCCCCCACAAAGCCCGUUAUUAGCAUGAAUUCGCGUAGAUGGAUUCUGAACGGUCGAAACAAAUUCUUCCACCAAGACAAGCAUAUGUUUUGUUCGAUGCCGAAUACACAUACUAUAGCAGAGGCGGGGGCAAAAGCCUUUUCAAGUAUUUAAAUAAUUAAAUUAAUUAAUGAAAAAUUACCCAUAUCUGACGCCUCCGAACUGGGCAAUUUCAGGUGGCAAAAACGCGGAUGGUUAGAUGUUGAUUUGAUGACUUGUAAAUUAUAAUGAAACGCAAAAUAGGGGAGUUACAAACCUUUGCUUCUUUUUUUUUUGCUAAAGACAAACCUUUGCUUUAGAACAACAAAACAACCAUAUCUAUUUCGCUUCGGUUUCACUAGCUGGACAAUGGUAGCAUGCCUCACCCUGACACCAAGCCAUCUGGGCCUCCCCGACGGGGAAAGACAACCCCAGAUGCCACUGAAAUUUACCUCCGUGUAUCAUUAAACCCAGAGCUGAAAAUAUUUUCACUGAUGUCUUCCAUUAGUUAUAAUAACUUAAAAUUUGUCCAACACCUGCAUACAGAAGCAAUAUUUGCAAUGAUACAACCAGAAAUAAAAUCCACAGAAAAUCCAGAAUAAGUUUGUACCACUAAAAGCAAAGGUAAGAAACAUACACUGGAAAAUAACAUCUAUUAGACUAAUCAUGAUAUGCAUGUGACACCUGCCAUUCAUUUGCCACUCAUACACGACAUUGAGGAAACGUUCAAGACAGGUAUAAUCUGCUGUUGCAUAAGGAUGCCUAUCACCAUUGAACUGAUCACAAGCAAAUGUCAAACAAUCUCAGCACGCCAAACAUUGAUUUAUUUAUAAUAUUUAUAAUUACUGAUAAAUAACAACAGCAACAAAUAAACUAAUUUACAAAUACAGACACAAACAUGAAAGAAUGUAAUUUUACGUCACCAAACCAGCACAAACUGAAGAGGAUGAGCAAAAAUUGACUAGCCCUGAUUUUCCGAGGUAGGUCCUGAAGCAAAUUGUUGUUGCCUAGAAUCUCAGAUGCUGAAACUAUACGGGUGGUGGGCUAGCCCUUGUGUUUGGAGGAACAGCCUGUGAAGGGCGUGUGGGAGGUGUAGGGAUAAUUGGGCAAGAUUCUGGUACAAGAAUGGAGGGAGAGGCUGCAGGAGGUGGCUGAGUAGUGGCAGUACUUCUGGUAAUACGGCUGGGAGUCGGGGUGGUUGGGGAGAGAGGGGAAGAUGAUUCAGAUACUGCAGGAGCUGGUGAUGCAGGAGGGAUUUGGAUGGAGUAAACCUCCGUGACCUCUUCAAUGCCCUCAUCCACAUAAACAACAUCUUGCAUGUUGAGUUGGUGGUACUCCACAAUCUCCCUCAGGAAUCUAUUCUCCCUUGCAUAUGUGGAGUUCUCAUGUGCCAGCCUUGCCUUCUCAGCUAACAAUGUCUCUAGCUGAAGACGUAUCUACAUAACAUGGACAGGAAACAAAUAAACAAAGAAAAAAACGAAUUUGAUAAAGAAUUGUGGAUUAAUGGGAUUGCAUCAGAAUUUUUACUACAUGAUGCACUGUGAAUCUGCAAAUGAUUCUAAAGAUCUUGACAACUGUAAUUUUGUAACUUAAAUAUGUGGUAUGUUCCAGGGAGCACAUGCAUCAUAUUGAUGGUGAGAUAUUGGAUGUAGAAAGGAAAUGCACAAACCCAUGAGUUGAUUAUAUCUGUUGACCACCAAGCAUCGGAACUAAACCAGUGAUAGCUCCAUGGCCCAAUCUAAAGGUGGUACAGAGUGCAGAAAACAAUAUAUCAACAUGCAAUCACAAGCAGAAAUCAGAAAACAUGCCCAAAGAGAUAGCACAUUAAUACAAAGAAGAGUAAAUGCAAGCAAGGCAAUGUAUAAUACAAAAACAAGCAAUUACAUGCACAGCAAUAUAUUUUGCAGAAUGCAUGCGGGCACUAGCAUAAAUAGCAAAAGUCCGGUGAUUCAGUCUUGUGGGCAAUCAUGAAAACCAUUUCUUCAUGGUGAUUCCCUAAUCAAGGUUCAGAUCCAAGGAUCUGAGUACCAGUGCAUACCAGUCCAUAAUGGAUGUACCCUAGAGGUGAAGAACUGGUUGUAUGCCCUCGUAUCGGUCUGUAUCGAUGCAUGGUACAUUACCUUAUUAUUGCUGUCCCGGCCCAAAGAGACGUACCGUGUGUUUGGGAUACUGCAUAUACUUAAACCUUUUUCUCAUUAAAUCCAAUCAAAUAAAGUGUAUGCUGUAAGCAUUUAGUUUGUCCUUUAUAUCAUGUCAACAUAUUAAUGUCAGGUGAAAGUUCAAGAACAAUAAGCUCAUGCUAUUCUUCAUACAAUCAACAUCUAUACUAACAAAUCAUAAACAUGAAGUAAUAAAUUAAAUUAACACAAGCAUAAAAUAAACAAAAUCCAAGGCUCGUGGUACCGACACUGGAUACAGUACUAGUAUGGUAACAUACACUUGGUAUAGUAUGGUACACUCCCUACCAACACAACAUGAGGAGAUCCUUUUACUCAUGCCCAGCCGUGAAAUUGCCUCAAAACCAGGAGGUACAGGUUACUACAUGAAACCAAGCAGAAUUGAUCAAUUUGCCCACUACAAGUUGGUUCAGCCCUUGCGUCAUAUUGAACCUCAGUACUCUGCCAAUGCCCUGCCAUAUGGUGUGAUACACCAAAUACAUACUAGUAUGGGUUGGUAUGGCGAACAAUGCAUAAAGCCUUAUCAAACCAGAUCAAAUAUGUAAAACUUCUGACCUUCUCCGCACACAUCUCAACUGUUCUGCACCUUCUGACCAUUCAAGUAAUACCUUCCUAACCAAAGACACCACUAGCCUAUGUUACAUAUAUCUAAACCAUCUCAGCUCUUACAACAUUCUAUCAAUAUUGCUCUCAUUCCUUUAUACUCAUAUGUUAACUCCAGCACUCCUAAUUUUGCCAUAUCCAUAUUGGUGAUCCUUCAGCAGCUCGUCUUACACCAUUGGUCCAGUUCACUAUUCAUCAUACUAAUCCAUACAUCAAAAAAUGUUAUUAUAACUGUUUUAUAUAAUUACUCAAGCACAAAUGGUGUUUGACCAUCACUAACAUCAUAAUUCUCUCUUUUUCCUUGUUCUAUACACCUCACAAAUUCCUACUUAAGGUUCAUGAUGUAGUAUAUGUUUUUAACUGAUUAUAAACCUUUACUUUCAGAAAAUCAGUUCCAUAUUUCCAGUUUACAAUUCUUACCUUCCCAAAAAUUUCACUUGCUUCAAGUUGCAUCUUGGUUCUACAAAGGACCCAUCAGUUCACUCUGUGUACUCUUACAUAUUAGUCUGGGCUAAACCUUUUGUUCUCUAGAACUUCCAUAAAUAUUAGUUUCGUAUUUGUGUCUCCACAAGCUAAUCAAACAGCAAUGCAUAAUCUGCAGAAUAACAUGAAUCAGAGGAAGCCUCUAGGAUAUCAACAGAUAAUGUAUGUUAACAAAUAGGAGCUCAAAACAAAACCUGGUGAUGGUCAAAAGGGUGAAAAAGAAAUUAUUUUAAAAUUUAAUUGAACUUUUCAUUGGAGAAACAAAAUGCAUACAAGAUCAUCAUCUUCAGGAUUAGAUCCCUUCUCAUGACUCUCCCUCAGCAUUUUGUUUUCUUCUUCAAGCUGAGAACACCGUUCCUUUGCAAAAGCCAGGUCAGCUUUGACGGUCUUCAGUUCACGCAGAAGAAGCUUGGCCUUUGCAGCCAUUGCAUUAGCAACCUGCAAAAACAAGAUACAAAGCCAUUAAUUCGGUCCAUCAAAAGGGUGAAACAAUAAAAAGUAUGUAACAUAGCUAACUAUAGACAUGGUAGUGGACCAAAAGAAAAUCCUCUCAUUUUAAAAUACAUGUUUUGCAUUAAGCAUACUGUUAUAUAAAAAUCCACUGAGUCUCUGAUGGACAGCCCAGAGCUAAUCUGGUUAUCUCUGCCUGGUUCUAAGUAUCGGCAAACUGCAUAAUUCUAGGAAUUGGAAAGUUUCGCACUACCAUAAGGUGACCUCAAGAAUUAGAAGAGUGACUACUAACUAGAGCAUCUGUGCAUCAACUUUACCUUUGUGUUAAUAUACAAUAUGAAUGCUUUUCAUUUUUGAUGAUUUUACUACAGCAACACAAGAUGAAUGUUAUCAGAAUCGGGCAGUUGAAAAAUCAAGCAAAGUCAACUCUGUUAGAAAAUUUAUGUGGUUUAAGGAAUCAGUUUAACUCGAUACAGCUCACGAGCAUAUGUAGAACAGCAAUUUCAAUUUCGUGAUAUACAGUUGCCACCUUACGUCGCGAGAUGCCUUCAGUUGUGUUUCAUAAUCAGUUUGUAUCUGAGGAAAUAUGUGUUGAGCCAAUUUCUCUGCAGCCUGACUGUGUGCAUUGUGACCGCUUCCUUUUCUCCUAAUAUGCAGCUUUCGUGUUUCAUGGAUGAUGUCAGCAGUCUUAUUCUCCACAACUGUCCGACCCUCCUGGAAAAAUAAAGAACCACAUGAUUACCAAACUAAAAAUCAGAGGGCUACAAGAUUCCAAAUAGGAAGACCUUCUUGUCGUCUCCUCACACAACAGAUCAUACGAUCAAACCCAAGUUUUGGAACAAUCAGUGGGUGGACAGAUGUCUACAUCAUAAUGUUAAACACACAUUUUUCUGUUAUACAGGGACAUCAAGACACAUCAUUAACCAUUCCAAUAUGUAGCAUGCAUAUCUACUUUCUAGUCAAGUUGAAAUGUUAAAUUGAAGACCAUGUGAUUUUUGACAUAUAGUAGUGAAGGAGGUAAAUUUCUAACUCUCAGCAGAGCUCUAUUUCUUUCAGUAAUCUAAUGCUUGAGUUAAUAAUAGAAAUGUGAUUAUUAUCAUCAGGUAAUGCUGCUGAUCUUAAUGAACUGCCACUUGUUAAGUACUGAUCAGUAACGAAAAACUUCAUAUUAUAUGGAAAAAUUUCUAUUUUCACUAUUAGUUUUACCUUAUAACAUGAUAUCAGAACUAGUUUUGGCACCAGACUUCUACACGCAUAUAUGUGAAAAUAGGCACAUAGAUAUCCACAUACUCAGACAUUAGCAAUAUAUGACCCAUUUUGCUGUCUCUGAAUUUUGAGAAUACACAAUGUAUGACCCAUGUAUCUGAGUUGAUCACAUUAUCAAAUGAAGCAUGAAUCUUCAAAGCAUUCAACAAUUAUGCAGGACCUAAGAAAGAUUCCAUGAUUAUAUUAUAUAUUUUAAAAAUGAGAAAGUAUGUCAAAAGAAAACAACAGCAGCAAACAAGUCCCAGAAAGAAAUUACUUCGAGAGCAUUUUUAAUCGUGUCACCAAUGUAGUUAAGGGAAGAAGCUAUUGUAUCUGAACUUUUCUGAAAGGGAGGUGUUUCCGUCUUCUGGUAGCCAUGAGGUGACCAAUUUGAAUGAUAAAACUGCAUUAAGAAAAUAGAAUCAGUUGGAAAAGCAAAGAUUUAAAAUUGUAUUAAACCAUAAGAACCGCACAAAGUAGAGUAUGAUAGUGAAAAAGGAACGUUUUGGGCAAUUAUUUUUAUCACAAAAAAUGCACAAGAAAUUUCAGUUGUUUCACAAUUAGGCAUUCACCAGAAAGUUUGGUGAGAAUUCCCAGAAGAGGAAAGGUCCAACCCAGUUUCAAGGCAAUGUUUGAAGCUUCCAUGGGAUAAAAGAAGGAAAACCCACCCCAGCACUGUAACAUAAAGACAAGAGACCCUAAAGCACAGGCCCCAGUAGAAGCUCAGAAUUAUACUGUUAAACCCUUCUUAAACAAUCAAUUUACCUGCUAGGAUAUAUUAGAAAUAUGUUAAGAAGAGAAUUUUUGCCGAAUUGAAAGAUUUACAUCCCUUUCUUGCUUAUGCUUAAUUACAACACUUCAUUCUCACCUUUCGGUCUCACCAUUUUGUCUCAUCCUCUAUAAAAUACACAAAGGAUAAAACAGUUUCCAGGAUUCAGAUAUUCCAGAAAAAGUUGUCCUAACAGGAAACAAAAAGAAUGAUCCAAUGAUCAAUGAUGGGCCGACACUUAGUAUGCCAAAUUGGCCCUUGUACUGGGCGUACCGACACAGUGACAGGAUGGUACUGGUACGAGGCCCGGUACCAAGAUGGCGUAUCUUGAUCCAAUCCUUUAGAAGAAUGUUUCAGAUACUGUCCAACAACAGUCACCCAUAAAAGGAAUAUGCAUUUCAUAAGUAAGAGUUAACCAGCAAACAUGAGAUGCAAAAUUUGAUGCUACCUGACUGCCGGCUGAUGUGUUGGCUGCUUGGGGUUGGUUUCUUCCAGGAGUUUCAAAUUGCUUUGUUGUAUUAUCAUCCUCAAGAACUGCUUUAGCUUUUCUGGCUAAAACCCCCCAGAAUCCAUAUUUGGAUUCAUUCAAAUUUUUCAUUGACGUAUAUUCAUAGGCAGCAGAAUCCUACAUCAAAAGCAACAUAACUUAUUAUACAAUUAAUAAAUGAUGACAGAAUAUGCAGAUAAAAAAAAUGCCAUAUAGCAAAUCAAGUUACUGUUAUGAUAGCCUAACAACCUGCAAGGAACCCCUGCCAAGAAACCCCCUAAAAAUUUUCUGUCAAAUGGCUGGCCAAGGAAAUACUGGACAAGUGAAGUGCCUGCCAAGAAACCUGGAAACCAGGUGGCACUAAAAUCAGCCUAUCUUAAUUGCUGUAGAGUUUAAGAUCAUGUAAAUAUGUGGCAAGUUAACGAUGCUAAAUUGUUAUUCACAGAUGUCAGAGUAUUAUGGAACAGAGAAAGGGUUCCUCGAACACUUUCAUUAGUGGACUUACAUUUAAUUUUAACUUGCACAACAGAACAUUAGAUGCAGCCUCCAAGCUUUCAGUUAUCAUUUGUUUUCUUCUUUUAAACAGUCAUUCGAUUAUUACGUCAAUCAAAACCCAUAUAAUGAAAGAAACUUUUAUGUCAAAGCACUGCUGAUGCCUGGGGUCAUUGAGAAAUUGCUUCAACAAACCUUACAUUUGACAUUCCAGAAAGCCCGCAUGGUUACCAUAUAAGGUCCACAUCAACCAAUUAAAAAAAAAAUUAGUCGGGUUCCAGUAAAACAGCAAUUAAUCAAAGUGUUGCUGUUUCCAGAAUAACCUGCCUCAUCUCAAACAGAUCACAUAAAGGCUUCCAUCUUAUCCAAACAAUAGAAGAUAAGAUCCGCUGUCUCGAGAGAAAAAUAGAAAAAAAGACAAGUCAGGGUGUAAGACUGACAGCUUUAGUCAAUUACCAAUAAAUGUCUAGUCUCAUAUUACGAAACAAAAUGACAGCCUCAAAAGGGCUAGUUGAGGCUUAUAACCUUUGAACAGCCUCCAAAGCGUUGAUCACAGCUUAUCCUAGCAACCAAUAAAGCGUGGAAACCUUAAAAGAUAUAAUAGAACACCCAAACUCAGAAGAAAAACUAAUCAACAGAUAGCUCCAUCACUUAUUUGAACCUCUGUUCUGCGUUUCAACCUGUAGACGGUUGAAAUCUUGUAUUAGCCUCCCAAAACCCUGCUUGCUUCUCCAGAGAUUCUACACAAACCAUGCCAUUCAUUCUACUCAUAUUAUUGCAAUCUUUUUCUGAAAGAACCAUAUCAAAUCCUCAAUUUCUCCACACGAACAUCCAAAAACCUUCCAUAAACAUAAGUUUCCUCAGAUCAAUCAAGUGGAAUUUGCUUGUUUGCUUCAUCAGGACUAGAUCCUUCCUAUAAAUCCACUGAUUGGACAAACAAGUGAUGCAUUGCUAUGAGAAACUCUAGUGAUUCCAUGACACCAUUUAUCAGAUGCUUCAUGCUUCCAAUUACAUUUUACUAAAACUCAGUUCUGGCCCAAAUCAAAAGAAAACCUUCAAUAGAUCUGAUUCUGAACCAAAGAAACCCUGAGAACUUUCCUUUUUCCACAAGAUUCAUCUGUACAAUUGUUUCCGUUGAACUCGGUCAUAUAGUGAGCUUCUGUCCAAAAAUAACCCAACACAUCCAAAUCACUUAAUCAAGCAAAAGUAAAAUAAAAUAAAAUAAAAUAACCCAAAUUCCAAGCAGAAACACUGCUCCAACUCCCGGCAAUUCAAGAAAUAGGCAGCGAUCUGCAAGAACCCAGGUCUCUCAGACAAAGAAUAUGUUGAAAAGUAGGAAGAAAAGGUAAGGGGAGUAAGAACUGACCCUCGGCGAGGGGGAAGACCUCUCGCGAUUGGAAAACGGGUGGGCGGCGGAGGAGGCGACAGUGGACUCGCCAUAGGCGGAGGAGAGAGAGGAGUCGCGGUGGGCGGCGGAGGCCCGGAUCGCUUGGGCGGCGAGCGACGGCGGAUCGGUGGCAGCGGAUCGGUAGUCCUCGAAGGUGGAAGAAGUUUGAUAGGACACCCCCUGCUUCCGCCGGUACGCCAUGCCCUCCACGCCGCCGCCGAUGAGAGAGAAAGAAACAGGGACGGGGAGAGAGAGAGAGACAGAGACCGCAACUCGAGCCUCGGGUCCGAACGACGGACCCCUUUAUGGAUGCUGGAUAGGCGAGAGAGUUCGAUUGAACCCGUCGGAGGUCGGUCCCCGUCACGCCCUCAUGCUUUUAUCCUACCCAUCUCUCGAUAUCCACCGUCCAUCUCAUGAGUUGUCUUCUUCUUGUUCUUCCUUUUGGUUGGACCUUGGCCCAAAGCGUGGACAGGCCGGGUUCGGAAAUAAGGACCGAGGCAGUGAGCUGGAGAGUGAGUAGAUGGACGGCUCUGAUGUGCCUAGUAUCCAAUGGUGCUCCUAGUGCAACUUUGUGAUCCAAUUAAGCCAACCUAAUUAGCUGUUCAGAUGGGAGUGUGUUGAUUUUUUUUUCGUUAAGAUAUAUUAAAAAGAGUUUUUUUUUUACAUGAAUACUCUUCUGAAAAUUUAAAUUUACACAAAUAUUCUUUUAAAAUUUGUAUUUAUGUGUGUAUUCUCGUAAAAUAUAGUUUUUACACAAAUACUCCUAAUAUGUUCUUCUAACACCAUUAAUAAAAAUCAUAUUUAUUUAAAUUAAAAAUAAAAUAAAAUUUUGAAAUUACUUUUUUGUCCCCCAUUGCUAUCGUAUUAUAAAUGUUUCUCUUUUUUUUUCGUGCACAUCUACCCAUUAAGAAUAGUUUAAUUAUUUUAAUAAAUGGUGUGGGAACACAUACAAAAACAAAAAUGAAAAA